CUACAUCUAUGCAUUAUGCAUCUACCCAACGAUUUAAGUGUCCAUUGGCACAGACCGUAUAUACUGUGCCGUAUCGUGUACGGCACGAUACUAUUAAUAGUAUUCCAACUCAACUAGAUAUAUGUAUAUAUAAUCCGGUUAUUAUAUCACUUUAUACUUAUAAGUUUUCGGCUGUUAAAUCUUCUCCUUUGACUAUUUUUAUCUGUUAAAUCAUACUAUUCAACCAACCACCUACUCAAUCCUAAGAAAACCACCACUAAAACCGACCGUCCUUAGAGCAAGUGGCAAAGGGCUUGAUUGUUGGUACCUGAGAUCCAAGUUUGAAUCCUAGUUGAUUUACAUUUCUAGCUAAGUUUAUUUCUAAAUGAAAUAAACGAAGCGGGUAGCGUGCUACCUAUAUCUCAAAAAAAAAGCCACCACUAAAUCUCCGGGGAUCACUAUCAUUCUAGCCCUAUAAAGAGCUUAAAUGCUAUUAAUAAUAUUUCAAUUCAAUUCUAUAUAUAGAGAGAGAGAGAGAGAGAGAGAGAGAGAGAGAGAAAGAUAUGUAUGUAUAUUUGUGAUAUUUUGGAAAGGGUGGAAAGUAAUGGAGAAGGGAGGAGGUAGGGAGGUAGGGGUGGAAACGAGCCGAGCUCGAGCGAGCUUACCUUGGCUCAAAUUCGAUAAUCUGUAUAAAAACAUAGUUUAAUAUCUACUACAAGAUAUUUUUAAUUUGAUAACUAGCAUAUUACAACUCUUAAAGUUCGCCGAGCAAAUCCCGAGCUCGAGCGAGCUGAACUUUAAUCCGAGCGAGCUCGAGCCGAGCUUAAUUAAAGUUCGGUUCGAACUCGGAUUUAAAUCUGAGCUUUAAUUAAAGUUCGGCUUAAAGUCGGUUCCAUUCGAGCGAGCUCGAGCCGAGCUUAAUUAAAGUUAGGUUCGAACUCGAAUUUAAAUCUGAGCUUUAAUUAAAGUUCGGNACAAAUAAAACUUUAUAAUACCGUAUAAUUAUGAAGAAAUGAAAACACGGAGCAAUGCCAAAAGAACAAGAAACAAGAAAAAGAGUCGAACAAUGAUGCGAACAAAGUUCCAUUGUAAACAGUAAUUGAACUGCAAAUUAUGAUUCAGGGCAAAAAAUCUAUACAUGUACAGCUACAGAAAGAUGUAGUUCUAAGAAUAAAUAUCGUUUAAUUUCACACAGCCCUCGCUCCGAUCCGUCAAACAGAUACUAUUUUUUGUUCAUUAAAAUCAGCCUAUUUACCUUUUAAUAUUGGUGGAAUAGACCGUGAAACAGUCGGACCAGAGGUUGGCCUCUUACAACUUUCGGACGAUCCUACAUGCGAAUCAAAACUUGUGCUUCAUGCGUGUUCUUCUUGAUGCAAAUGACUCACGACCUCUCCUUGGUUGUCGAGUGGCAUGUACUGAGCCAUAAUAGCCCUAAUCUCGGAGUCCAUGUAUGACUGAGAGAGAGAGAGAGAGAGUGAGAAUUAUGAUAGUGGGCUAAAAGAAAAAUAUAUGAAUGAAGAGCAACGUGUCAGCAUAUUUACCCUUAAUCUAUACUUGUACACAACAUAUGCUCCUGCCGCAACAGCGGCCAAGAUUAUCGUAAUCACCCAAACAGCAACCCAGGUUGCUUUCGCUUCACUUGCUCUCUUACCUGCAAAUUUUCCAUUCCGAUGGUUAUCAAAUGAUAUUAUUUGCUGGGAGUCAUGGGAUACAACUAUCGUGCUCCCUGAUGUACAAAAGGUCUCCGCUGCAGGUGCAAUCGUAGCUUCCCCAUGUAUUUUUGCAGCUGCAUUCAGGGCACUGGCAAGCUUUCUUCUCCUUGCAUUCAUCAAUAUCUGUGAAUGUAAAAGAGAAAUAUAGUUCGACCACUGAUAUGUUGAGCAACCAGAUUUACUUGUUUUGCAUUUCUUCAAAUAAAUGUUUCUAACCAUAUAAAUCUAGAAUAAGGGAAGAGGCCCAUUCUAAGUCAAUUAAGUGGUUAAGCAAGAAUGAUACCUUCACAUGUUUUAACACCGUCGCCCAGAGGGACAUUGGCAUUUGUUAUCUCCCACUUGCUAAAUAAACCAGAUGAAUAGAUUACAAGAAUCACUUAAGAAAGAGAGAUAAAUAGAUCAAAAGAAUCACUUUAAAAAAGAGCAAUCAAAUAAAGGAUAAGGCAAAAUUGGUCCAGAUUUUGCAGACUUAAUGGAUCUAAACUAACCAGGCAUGCCGAGAAGGUGUUUCUGUCAUGACUGCCCUUCCAACAGCCACCGUUGUUUAUCCGGCAUCUUCCAGGCCCAAAAGCUGCACCGCAAAAAAAGAAUUCGAGCUUUUCGAGCUUUUCGAGCGUAAGCUUCUAAAUGGUUAAAAAUUGUAUGGUUUGGAUGAUUGCGGUCUCGUCUAAGAUUAAUUCUUGAACUCUUAGGAUUGAGUGGUCCCUAGAAGGUAAUCAUUAUAUUUAUCCAACACAGCUGAGAGACGAUUACAUGGAUUGAUGUAAGAUAUCAAUGAAUCGAAAGUGCUAUAUCUCUAUACUUUCGAUAGCAUAUUAUGCUGCUACUAUAUCUAUAUAUUCGAGCUUUUCGUUGCUUUUCGAGCCUAAUUUUAAAUGGUUAAUAAGAUCUGUGUGUUUAUCAGAGAUCAGUAUUGCGAGGUUUCCUCUGAGAUUAAAUACCAUUGGAAAACUCUUAGGAUUGAGGUUGGUCCUUACAAGGUACUUGCUCUCAUAUUACUCGAACGAUGCAUGUACCGAUUAACUUGCUUGGUCCAGUUAUGAAUCAAGGAAUCGAAAGCAGCAGAUCUCUAUACUUUCGAUUGCAUAGUAGGUCUACUCUAUGGGCAUGUUUGAUUCGAGCUUUUCGAGCUUUUCGAGCCUGGAAUCGGAAUCUGAAUUGGUUAAUCCGUUUGUGUGUGUUUGGAUGAUUGCGGGAGUCUCCUCUCCGAUUCCCUAUUCCUGUUUGGAUUGAGUGGUCCCUACAAGUUACCUCAUAUUUUUAAUCCGAAGCUUAGAAACGAUUCCAGGGAUUGGAUGUUAGAAUCAAAAAAUCGGACGGACUGGAUCUCUAUACUUUCGAUAGCAUAGUAGCUCUACUAUAUAUAUAUAUUCGAGCUUUUCGAGCUUUUUGAGCCUAAUUCUAAUAUGAGUUAAAAAUUGUAUGGUUUGGAUGAUUGCGGUCUCCUCUAAUUUUAAAUUUUACUCUUAGGACUUGAGUGGUCCCUACAAGGUAUUAAUAAUAUUAAUCCAAAGAUAUGAAACGAUUCAAGGGAUUGAUGUAAGAUUCAUAAAUUUGAAUUUACCAGAUCUCUAUAUUUUCGAUUGCAUAGUAGUUCUACUUUAUAUUUAUAUUGUAGCUUUUCGAGCUUUUCGAGCCUAAUUCUGAAUGGUUCAAAAUUGUAUGGUUUGGCAUUAUUGCGUUCUCCUCUCAGCUUCAAAUAUUACUCUUAGGAUUGAGUGGUCCCUACAAGGUAAUAAUAGAUAUUAAUCCAAAGAUGUGAUAUUAUUUAAAGGUUUUGAUGUAAGUUUUUAAUCAUUUAAUUUUUAAUUUGAAUUUACCAGAUUAAUAUAUUAUAUAGCAUAAUGUUCGUAUAUUAAUUUGAUUAUGUUUUUUAUUUCCACCUGAUCUAAAUUUUAAUAAUGGGGAUGAUUGCGGUCUCCUCUAAGAUUAAAUAUUACUCUUAGGAUUGAGUGGUCCCUACAAGGUAAUAAUAAUAUUAAUCCAAAGAUAAGAAACGAUUAAAGGGAUUGAUGUAAGAAUCAAAAAAUCGAAAGCACCAGAUCUCUAUACUUUCGAUAGCAUAGUAGCUCUACUAUAUAUAUAUAUUCGAGCUUUUCGAGCUUUUCGAGCCUAAUUCUAAAUGGUUAAAAAUUGUAUGGUUUGGAUGAUUGCGGUCUCCUCUAAGAUUAAAUAUUACUCUUAGGAUUGAGUGGUCCCUACAAGGUAAUAAUAAUAUUAAUCCAAAGAUAAGAAACGAUUAAAGGGAUUGAUGUAAGAAUCAAAAAAUCGAAAGCACCAGAUCUCUAUACUUUCGAUAGCAUAGUAGCUCUACUAUAUAUAUAUAUUCGAGCUUUUCGAGCUUUUCGAGCCUAAUUCUAAAUGGUUAAAAAUUGUAUGGUUUGGAUGAUUGCGGUCUCCUCUAAGAUUAAAUAUUACUCUUAGGAUUGAGUGGUCCCUACAAGGUAAUAAUAAUAUUAAUCCAAAGAUAAGAAACGAUUAAAGGGAUUGAUGUAAGAAUCAAAAAAUCGAAAGCACCAGAUCUCUAUACUUUCGAUAGCAUAGUAGCUCUACUAUAUAUAUAUAUUCGAGCUUUUCGAGCUUUUCGAGCCUAAUUCGAACGAGCUGAGUAAUACUUAAGCUCGGCUUGAAAUGAAUUUCGAGCCUUUUUUUUGUUCAAGCUCGGCUCAUUUAAUUUCAAGUCGAGCUUGAGCGAGCCAAAUAUCGAGUCGAACGCGAGUCGAACGCGAGCCGGCUCGCUCAUUUGCCAGCCCUAGGAGGAGGAGGUGAGGGACAUUUUCAUGCAAUCCACGCAACAAGUGCUGAAACCAAGAGAUCCCUUGUACUUUGGGUUGUUGCAUUGGACCACAAAAGUACUUUUACCCAACUUAGACUUUUUCAACAGUUAUAUAUAUAAAUCAAUUGAAAUUCGUAAUUUUAUAUAUGUCUGUAUAUCAACAGUAUAAAAAAAUAAUAUUUUAGAAGGCCUGCAAUAGUAUUAUUUUAAGAAUCACCAACAUAAAGAAUCUCAAGCCAUUUAAAUUUUUUUUUUUGAGUUGAUUAGGGCUUUGAAAGAAGUGCUAGUUAAUUAAUUCAGUAUAUCGAAUGAAACAUAUGAUAAUAUGUUUCUAUUAGAAAUCUCUCACCAAUUUACUACUAUUUGUUGGAUAUGCCCUUCAAAUUAUAUACAGAUUACGAUUAAUUUUUCUAUUCAAUAUAAGAUUAUUAUUCUUCGUACAUUUUUUAACACGUAUAUAAUACUGUGAGCUACUAACACAUACCAUAGACCCAAUACAAUCACGCGAUAGUAAUGUACUAAUCAUAAUUAAUAUUUCCAUAAAUGCAAUUUGCAUAUUAGGCGCGACCAACACAGGACACAAAUAUAAAUAUUUUGGACAAUGCAAAUACCAUAUGGCAUAAGUAAUUUUACGUGUUCGAUACGAUUAGAACAUGAUUACUGAACUAGCUAACAAUAAAGAAAUAUAAACAAAAAAUCUCACAAUUUUUAUUUUAUAUCUAUAUAUCAAAUUAUUAUUCUUACCACAAAAAAUAUUAAUAGCUUAUUGUGUCAAGUGCCGUAAUAGGACGGUGGCACAAUUGGACAAGUAUUGUUUUGAUUUAGGCUAAGCAGGUUACCAACCACAUUUGAUCACAUAACCAACAUUAUUUUCCCCUAUAAAAAAAAACAAUUUUAUGUCUUAUUAUGAUAUUAUUAUCAUAUAAUGUGUACCCAAAAAGGACAAAAAUAAUGACGCUUGAUAUAAACAAAUGCACAAGGGAGGUGUCAUAUACUUGUCCUCUUUUGGUAGUCGAAAUCACCACCUCUUACAAAAAGAACAUGGGAGACAUUUGGCAUUUUCCCCCUCCAUUUUUUUGUCAUUUUAAUUCAGACCCACAAAAAUCCAAGAUCUGUGAAAAGAAAAAAAAAAUAGAUAUAUAAAAAGGAACCAACAAGUUGUCUCUUCACUGUUUCGGUUUAAAAUGGGAGGAGAGGGAUGCGUUUUAUUUUCAUGCAAAAGAGAAAAAAAUAAAAAUAAUAAUGUUACGAUAGUGUCAUCGCUAGCUUAUAUUUAAACAAAUUGGUCUUUUAGAAUGAAAAUUACAUUCCCAUUUUAUUACUUGAAUAGGGUGAAAUGCAUGACCAAUUUCUACAAUUUCAAAAUUAGAUGGCAAAAAAUAUGCGUUACAUACAGUAGAAAAGUUUAAAUUUUUUUAUUUAUUUUUGCAAGGAAUAACAUGUUUUAUAGAUAAUACAGAUUCAAUAAAUAAAUCGGGAUCUAACUUUGUAAGAUAUUAGCUAGAUGCAUUUUUAGAGGCUAGAUUUUACUCUCACAAACUAUUAUCAAACCUUAUCCAACAAAACCAAAAUAAAAAAUAAUAUCGGCAAAGUAGCUACUUCGUGUUUUGUUAAUCCUUUUUUUUUCUUUUUAAGGUUUUGCUCGUCGUAUCGAGUAAAGCCUAUUAUCUCACUUCUGUAGUCUAAUUCAUACUUACAAUGAACGAAGCGGAUAGUAUAUUAUCUUUUAUUUUCAAGAAAUAUGAAAUCAAAAUAAAAUAAUCAAAGUAAAAGAAAAUGUCAAUGUUUGCUUCUAAAAGAAACUAUGAACAUAUGCAAUGAUAAAGACUCAUCAAAACCAAUACUAAUUAAGUAACUCUCACAACGACACGAUCAAAACUUAAAUAACACGCCUCAUUGAUUAUAAACUAUCACUUGCUCCAUAGUGGACAAAAAAGAGGGAUUAUUUUAACUUAACUAUAUUAGUGGAUCAAAGUGGACGCAAUCAAGUACAAGUAGAAGUGGAAGCAUCAUAGAAGUCUCACUCACAUGAGGACCAAGGACAUUUUGUGCACUUAUAAAGGAAAUUAUGACAUCUUCUUUUAUAUGUAAAAAAUACACAUAUGUUAUAUUAGAGUAAUGCUUCUAUACUUUUUUUUUUUUUUUUAUUAUCGUUCAUUCACGCAUAUUCAACGGCUCAGAUUUAAUUUUUUUUAAAUUAUGACUUGCAAUAGCAGAUCACUUUGGAAAAGGUACCGGUUACCAAGUACCUCAAAAAAGAAUAUUUUUAUCUUUUAAUAUAUGAACAAUUUAGUUAUUUUACAUCUACUAUAUUUUCAAAAUUUUUAUUUUUUCUUUGUUUCCUUUUUCUCUCUCUAUCUUUUCUUUCAUAAUUUGGCAUUUCAUAUAAGAAAAAUUUCAAAUGAUUUGAUAAUAUGAUCAUUGAAUUUAAACUUUAAAUAGUAAUAUGAAAUUUCUCAAAUUUAAAUUUCACUUUUAAAUUUAAAAUUUAAUAUUAUAUUCAAAUUUAUAUUUUAAAAAUUUAAGUUUCAUAUAAAUACUUUGAAAUAUGGUAAACAGAAAUAAUUGUUUGAAUUCUAGUCUUUUGAUUUAGGUAUGGUUUUGGAUUUCGAAAAAUUGGUAAGUUUUGAAUUUGGAUAUGGAUUUUUGAAAUCCUUCGAGUUCGGAAAUAAGUUUUGUGAUUGUUAGUUAAAUUUGAAUUCAAAUUCCUAACUAUUUUUUUUCUCACCAAUAAUUCUAAUCUUUUAAAUUUAUAUGUUUAAAAUUAUAUUUAAAAUAUUUAUUAGCUCUAAUAGUUAAAUUAUCAUUUUGUUUAAAAUAUUUAUUAUUUUUACCGGUUCCAAAUUGUUCUUAAUGUUAUUCGGUUCAAUAGGUUAAAAUCAGAUUCUUGAUAGAAUAGGUCAAAGUCUGAUCAGUCAAAUCAAUCGGUUCAAUAUAGUUUUUAAAUCAUUGAAUUUAAAAUUUAAAUAGUAAUAUGAAAUUCCUCUAGAGAAAUUUAGUUGUAGAAAUCUUACUUUCUAAGUUUUUAAUGCAUUACGUUUUAAACUUGUGCGAAUAAAUUGUAUUUUAAAUCUUUGUAGAAAUUUAGUUUUUAAAUAAUAAUAUGAAAUUCCUCUAAUUUAAAUUUUAUUUUUAAAUUUUAAGUAUUUAAUUUUUAAAAUUUAAAUUCAUCGUAUUUAGAAAUAAAACUAUUUCUAAAAUUUCUAUAAUUUAAAUUAAUGCAUAAUUUGAGAAACACUAAAACAUUUAAAGUAGAUUCCUAAAUUAAUGCCUAAUAAUUGCAUAAAUUUGGUUAAUCAAUUAAUUUUCUAAAUUAGUGCUAAUUAAUGCAUAAAUUUAGGACCUCAAUUAAAAGUUUCUUUAAAUAUUGUAUUAUUUAAUUACCAAACUAACCUUGAAUAAAAUAAUUCUUUUACCUGCUAAGUAUUAGAGUUACAUUUUUACCCUCUAUUAAUCAGCAGUUAAGAUUUUUUUUUUUUUUUUUAAAAGUACCUAAUCAUUUCUCGUUAUAUUAUUGUGAUUUUAAUUAUUAUUAUUAUUUAUUUGAGCACUCCAUGAGAGUCUACUAUAUGUGUUUACUCUUUCCACCAAAGGAGGGGAGACUCAUUCAACAAAGUAGUCAACAACCACACAACUUAUUCUAACCUCUUAUUCCACCUCUCCAACUUAUUCUAACCCCUUUAAAAUCUGUUUCUUUCUCAAACAGAAUUUCAAAAAAAUAAAAAUAAGAUUUUUUUUCUAUAAAAUCUGAAAAAGAAUUUUUGUAGAAAAACUAAUUUUUUGAAAAUCAGUACCGAACAAAAAAAAAAAAAAAUUGUACACUUGCAAAUAAAUUUUACAACACUUCACAAAUUUAUAAAAAACAUUGCCUAUAUAAAAUAAGGAGGCAAUUGCUUAUAUAUCUCUGAAAAAUUUCUGACUUUCUGAUUUAUCCCUCUUUGAAGGCUAAUAUUAAAAAUACCCUCUUUACGUUCCAACUUAUUUCCAAUAUAUUCCUAGAGUUAAAUUUUAUUAGCAAUAGCUGUUAUCUUUAAAAAAUUACUAUUUUGCCCUUUUAAAUGUAUCUUUCUGCCAUCACCAACUUUUCUUAUUUGACUUUAAAUUAGGGAUAUAAAAAGUAUUUUAACUUUUUAUCUUUUCAAAUAUACCUUUUUACCGUUACCAACAUUUUUUAUUUGCCCUUAAUAAGUUAAGGACAAAAAAGGCAUUUUGAUUUUUUUUUAAUUCUGGUAGAUAUUAACUUACGUUUAACCCAAGUUAAUUUAACGGAUGUUUACUGUAGGAAUAUUUUGAAAUAACGGAUGAACAUAUAAGGGAAUAUUUCGAAAUAACAGAUGAACAUAUGAAAGGUAUAUUGGAAAGAAAAAAAAUUAGAGAUAAAUAAAAUAUUUUCGAAAUUUUGAGAAAUAUAUAGGCAAUUAUCCCUAAAAUAAGUAUAAGAAAUGUAAACCACAAAGGGUGCGUUUGGUUCGAGUUAUCCUGGCAGGAUUACAAGCAAUCCUGCCAGGAUAGCUGUGUUUGGUUAAUCCGCUAUGUAAUCUAGUCGUUAAUGUAGCAUUACAAAUCGAGCAGGAUUACAUCGAAAAUAUUAACGGGAGGGGGGUCGUGUAUCUUGCAUUACUGAAACCCGUUAAUACUACAUAUUAUGUAAAAUGACAAUUUUACCCUCCAACAACCCCAAAUCUAAUUAACAGCAUUAUUUUCAUCUCUCUCUCUCGCCUUCCCCCCUCUCUCUCGCACGCCGCUUUCUCUCGCUCUCUCUCUCUCUCUCUCUCUCGCGAACACCUAUCAUCUUCUAUUGCGUCGUCCUCCUAUGUAAUUAUCACGAUCUCCUUCCCUCCAUUAGUCAUUUCCGCAAAAAAUAAUAUUCAAAUGACCACAACAAGGACAAUUUUGGAAAAAACUAUACUUUUAUGUCAGGAUUACUAAAUUUUAUAAACUGAACCAAACGUAUUAAUGCUAUAAACACUGUAAUCUAGUAUUACAUUACUGUAUUAAACCAAACGCGCUAAUGCAGCAUCAAUAGUAAUCUCACGCCGAAAUCCAAGAUACCUGGAUAUGUCGAGAUACUUUGUAAUAUUACAUAACUCGAACCAAACGGGCCCAAAGAGAUAAGCUAGAUAUUAAAUUAUAUAGUUUGUAAAGUAUUUUAGCAUGUAUUUGUAAUUGAAAUAAGACGUUUCAAAUUGAAGCUUCAAUUCUUGUGCUUUAAUUAUAGUUUGGUUCCACGAAAUAGCAAAUGUUUUAGGCUUUUAAUUAUAGUAUAUAGCUACAACUAAAUGCAAGAACCAUUGCAUCGCAAAAAAACCCUAUGGAGCAAGCCAUUUUAACAUAACUCAUUAUUAAAGCACAAGGGACAAAGAGUUUAAUGAUUGAUUUUCGAGAUCUUAAAUUUAUAAUCUAAUUAUUUUACAUUUCUAAUUAAAUUUAUUUUUUUAAAAAAUAAACGAAAUAGGUAACAUAUUAAUUCUCUCUCUCUAAGAAAAAGAGAGUAGAUUAUAGUAGUAUAGUAGGAUUUAACUCGAUUUAAUUUCGCCUCACCCAAUAUUACCAAGAAAUAUAAUCUACCUCAACAACAACAACAACAUUACAACAAUAAGAACUAAAUUUAAUCCCUAUACAAUCCCAAUUUUGCAGCUUAGUCCCUAAACACUCGUUAUUGUACAACAUUGGAAGUGGAAAUUCAUUGCAAAAUUUAAAAUGUAAUAAUAUAUGCAAAAGUUUAAGGAGAAAAUAAUCGAAAUAAAACAUUACAGAGCAAUUACUUGCGGAAUUAAAAAUAUGACUAUUAUUCGAAAUUCGAAAACAUCACCACUAUAAUAUAACAUAACACCUCUAGUAGUAGCUUACGUACUCAUCUGGAACCGGACCGGCGGGGCGGUUUAGGUGGGCGAACGAACCGGACCGGACGAGGCGGCGCGGGCGCGCCGCGGCGGCGGCUUCGGCGACGGCGCACGCGGCCUUGCACGAUCCGUGCAGAUCCAGCACGGCGAGGCGCGCCGCGAUCGCGGCGGCGGCGCCGCGGCGGGGGCGGCGGCGCCGGAGCCGCCGACGACUCCCGAUCUCGUCGGAGGAGGAGGCGCGGGCGCACUCGGCGAGGGCGGCGGCGAAGGGAUCGGGGAGGGAGGAGGAGGAGGAGAUCGGGGGCGAGGGUUUGAGAGGAGGGGGAAGGGGGAGGGUUUUUUUGAGGAGGGGGAGGGGAUUUGGGGUUCGCGGGCGGGGGAUUUGGGGAUCGGGGUGCGCUCCCACAGAGAGGAAUGAGGAGGAGGAAAGAGAGGAGAGCGGGGCGAAUGGGAAGGGGACGGAGAAGGGGAGGGGAAGAGGAGGAGAACGACGACGACCGACGACGCGGAGCUCGACACGACCGACGAGCAGGAGGCGCGGCGGCGGAGGCGCGGACAAGGGUGGCCGCGGCGGCUGCGGAGGCCUUCGCCGCCGCCUCGGGCGGCGGCGGAGGCGCGGAGUCUCCCGGCGAGGUUUCAUCGGUGUAGAGAGAAGAGAGAGAGAGAGAGAGAGAGAGAGAGAGAGAGAGAGAGAGAGAGAGAGGGGGGGGGGGCGGGGGCGGUAUGUUUGGUUUGUUGUUGUUGGUGGUGCUGCUGCAGCAAUGUAGUGUGAAGGAGAUAAUGAGAUAAAUUGAAGGAGAGGUAUGUAUUUAAGUGUAUAUAUAUAUUUUAGUCAGCACUCACUCUCUCUCUCUCUCUCUCUCUCUCUCUCGCUCGCUCGCUAUUCGACGCGCGCGCUCGUCGCGCGCGUUGGUGGGGGGACGACGAGGCGGGGGAGCACGAAUGCAUGAUUUUUGAGGAUAAGUUAGGGUUGGGUUGGGUUGCGGAGAUAUUGCGUUACGUGCGGUAAGAAACGAUGAUAAAAUAAUAAUUAAAUUAAUAUAAAAUUCAAGUCGAAUUAAAUUAGAAUUUAAUCGAUCUAACCAAUUAAGGAAUGGAUAAAUUUAAAUUUAGAUUUGUACUUAUUCUUAAUGGUUACUAUAUUAUUAAAAAGAGGAUUGUAUUUCACUAUAUAAUAUACGGGAGUUUUUAGAAAAUCUAUCAGAAACAUAUUCCUAUAUGCUUUUUCUUUAACUCCAUUUUAUCUAAUAGCGUUAGAUAGACCUCAAUACCAAACUAAGUUUUAAGAAGUUUUUUAAAAAAAAAGAAGUAAAAAUACAGGAAAUUACUAUGAAUUAUAAAUUAUUUUUGUAUAGAUUAUAGAGACGGAUUUGUAUAAACAAUUCAUAAGUUUUGAGUUUUUGUAAAACUAAACCAUCUUUUUCAAUUUUGCAGAUUUGGACCAGAUUUAUCGACAUCGGACAAAAAUACCCUUAUUCCUUUUCUUUCUCUCUCUACUUUUUUUUAUUUUGUUAUUUUUUUUCUCUCCAACCCUCGUCGCCUCCUCCACUGUCUUCGCGGUCUGCGAUGGCAAUGAGGGCGUCCUCUUUCUCCAUCUCCUCAUCUGCCGACACCGGCAGCCCCCGGUGACAAUAACAAAGGCAGCGCCGUCUCCUUUUUCUAUUCUCUGCCUCCACCUCCGCCUUCGCCGGCACCGAAGAAAGAGAACUCGGAGCGGAUGCGGGUGAAGAUAGAGUAGAUGCCAGACGGAGAGGACGAGGUCACGAUCAAGGAGGUACUCGCCGCCCAUGAGCGUGAGGAAAAAAAAUGCACCCAUAUCCAAAGAACGAACAAAAAUACAGAGGAUAGAUAAAAAUAAGAAUAAAAUGUAAAAAAUUAAAUUUUAAUUUAUUUGUUUUAAGUCAACCAACAAUAUAAAUUUAUAACUAAAUAUAUACUACAUAAUUUUGCAAUGGUAAACCACGUAUUUUAAUUUUAAAAUUAAAGUAUCAUUAACCAACUUAAAUCAAACAAAUUGGGAGAUUAAAUAGUAAAAUUAAAAUUUCGAAAAGAUUGGAUAGUCGAUUCAAAAUAGUUUGUAAUUUAGAUAAAUUUUGAACAUUUUUAUUUGAAAAAAAAACAUAAUUUUUUUUAUUUUUGUAAGAUUUGUUAAGUCGAUAACUAUAGUAAUUAAUUUUUAACUUUUAUACUUCUAUUAAAAAAUAUAAAAAUGUAUAUUUCUUAUAAUUUUGACCGAGUCUCUGUUUUGGCUAAUUGGAUAUAUGUACGAUCAUCCUCGAAUAAUUGUUGUUAGUAAGAAAAGAAAUUCUAAAUAUUAAUUUUUUUUUUGGAAAAAAUACUUUCUUUUUUUUUUUUUUGUUGAUUUGGGCACCUUCAACUAAUAUACUGUUCAAUUGGAAUUAUCUGGUCAUAGUAGGCCCCUAAUGAUUUUGAUUGAGCAUUUCUAAAUCAAUUAAAUUAGUAGUUAAGACACUCUAAUCAUUUUUAAAAAAUAUAUUAGUGACCUAUUUUCCAAUGUCCAAUAGUUGAAUAAUGUACUAAAAUUUCAUCUAAUUAAUUUAAUAGAAAUGCAUUUGCUCUAUUAAACUCAAUUUAAUGUUAAUUUUGUACUUGAUUUGCAAUAAUUAGAAUUAGACUUUUGGCAAAGGAUCCGAAGCACAUGCAAUUAUUAUUUAUAAUUAAAGUUAUUAGUAUUAAAAAACAAUCAACUACCAUUGAUCGUACCAUUGGGUGGAAUUAUGCUUAAGAGCUUGCUUCAUUAAUGUGGAUAAUUAUGGUUUUAGAAAAAGGGUGGGGACAAAAAUUUAAAAACUAGUAAAUUGUGGCAACUUUUUUUUUUAUGUACUUUUGUAACAUCAUUAUUUAGGUUAUCACUUCUCUUAACUUAAUAAUAAAAGUACUUUACCAUUUUGCUCACUUUCUUUUUUGGGUGAACUGCAUACAGCGCUCCAUUAAGAAGUGGUCAGAAAAAUCCUCCACACGAGGUCACAAGAUAUCUGCUGCACUUAUUAUCUCUAAAAUCAAAGAAAAAAGAAAAAAAAAAAAGGGGGAAGAAAAGGUACUAUUGUUCUAGACUUUAAUUCAAAUACUAGUAUUUCAAGUUUUCAAUGUCACUCCAUCUUAGUAUAAGUCAUAAAAAAUACAAAAUACAAAAUACAAAAUACAAAAAAAAAACUGGGCCUAAAUGUAGAUCCAAAUGGGUUGAGAGCCCAGCUAAUUUGUAGGCCCAUUUUUGUACAUAAAUGCUGGGCAAGAAUGUGGAGAGAGGAUGUUACAAUUGAAGAAAUUUAAUGAGAAAAAAAAACCUGUUUCCAAAAUCUUAAAAAAGUAAUUUAUCACAAGAAACAAAGGCAAAAUGGCCGUUUGGUUACGUGUAGUUGUAGCUGCAUUGCAGUUGUAACUGCAUAUAAAUGCAAAUUUCGUGUUUGGUUUGAUGUAUUUAACUCAAACUGCUGCAGUAAAAACUGCAGGAGGAGGCCCAACUGCAGUAGUUCGAACUACGCCCAAAUUGGCGUGAUUCCAAUUACAGUAGUUGGAGAGAGUAACUUUAAAUAAAAUGUAUGCUUACCUCCUCAAUAUUUUUAAAACAAAAAUUAUUUUUUUUUUUUACAUUGGAGGUAAUCUCACCUUCAUAUAUAUAAAAUAAUAAAAUUUUAAAAAUUAUUUCUCAACUGUAUGCAAUCAAAUAAAUUAUUUAUACGUGCAGCGCUUUCUACUGCAUCCAACCAAACAAGAUUCAUGUAGUUAUAACUGCUGUAUUUCCAACUGCAUGCAUCUCUAACUACACUGUAUUUAUAAUUACAUCUAACCAAACGGUCCCAAGUAUUUUUAUUAGGAGUUAAUAUGAAUAAUGGAAGCACUUAUUAUCUAACUUCUCUAAUGCAUUGGUGAUAUAGCUUGCAAGGUAAAAGAAAAGCAGGUAUAAACACUAAUAAGGCACUACAAAUAUCAAAGCCACAUAUCUCUCUCUCUCUCUCUCUCUCUCUCUCUCUCUCAAAUGCUCUGUACUAAUCAUGAUUAUGUACCAGGAAAAAAAAAAGGCUUGUUCUUUGCUUUAUUCUGAGAUAUAGUAUUAUUUUACGAAUUACUGCUUGAGUAGUGAUAUCUGAAGAACUACUAAAAUUAAGUAUAUAUAUACUACAAUAAUAAUUUUGAAUGCAAAAUAAUCUACAAAAUGAUGCUAUUGCUACAAGUAAAGUAAAAGUAAAACCAAUCAAAUUCUAAAAAUCUUCUAUAUAAGUGUUAUUGUAAUAGAUUUGAAAAGAAAAAGUGAAUAACUUUUUUUCAUUGAAAUUUUUCCGCGAAGUUUUUUUAUUGUAAUGUGUGUUACUCUUUCUGUUACUCUUCUUAUAAAGUAACCUUGGGGGUCAACUACUAUUUACAUCAUACAAAAACAUAANAUAUAUAUAUAUAUAUAUAUAUAUAUAUAUAUAUAUAUAUAUAUAUAUAUAUAUAUUAUUUUUCAUAUGAAUUAAUAUUGAAAAUAGUGUUGUGGGAUUAUCCAUCUUCGAGAAUAAUCCUGGGGUUCCGCAUUAAAAUGCGUGCAUAUUACGCCCCACCCUCUUACCUCUUCAAAAGCAAAACCAAAUCAAAGAGCGAGGCACAAAUCCGCGGUAGCAACAAUGGCGUUCAACAACGCUCUCCGAUCGCGCAUCAACCUCUUCGUCUCCUCCGAAUCCCCCCUCUCCAAAUCAGGUAACAAACAAUCCCCUUUUCCCCGAUUCAACUCGGUAAUCGACCCAAUAAUUCGUAUGUGGCGUGUGAUUAGGGUUUAAUCGGGCUUUUAUGUUGUGAUUUUGCUCCAUGACGCAGGGAUUUGUUUUGUUACUGUAGUCGGCUUUUGAUGUAGCUCUUUGAUGCAUCGGAAUGGUUGAUUUUGGGUGAUUUUUGUUGUAUUUUCGUUUUUCCUCCCGAUUCUACUCGAUAAUCGACUUAAUAAUUCGUUUGUGGGGUGUAAUUGGGGUUUAAUCAGGUUUCUAGGUUGUGAUUUUUUAUCUAUGUCGCAGGGAUUUGCUUUAUACAGUAUUUAGGGUUAGCUUUAGUUCUAUAAUGCGUCUGUAUGGUUGAUUUUAGUUGUAUUUUCCUUUUUCUUCGCAAUUAUACUCCAUAAUCGAUUGAGCAAUUUGUUCGUGGUACGUAAUUAGGGUUUAAUAAGGUUUUAUGUUGUGAUUCAUCUCCAUUUUACAAGUAUUUGUUUUCUAUAGAAGUAUAGAAUUGGGGUUUAGUAUGAUUUUAGGUAAUUGUAGAUGUUUGCUUCAUCGCUACGUCGAGCUAUAUGUUAGAGUACAGGUUAAAACAAUACUGAGUCCUCUCAAGGUGUACGUAUAGCUUAGAUUUGGUAUAAUUGCGGCAUAAGAAGAUGAGGCAAUUAUGUACUUAGAUGGACUAGUUGAGUAGCUAAUUUGUUUGUUGAAGUGUAAUUAAGUUUUUUACUUUCCUAUCUUGUUGUUUUAUGGAAGUUUAAUCAUGUUCUAUGUUGUGAUUUAUCUCCUCCUCGGCUUUUUGCUAGGCUUAAUGCAUAGCUAAUAUAGCUGAUUUGGUUGACAUUUUGAUCCAUAUGAUAGUGCAUCGACGAGCCUUCUAUGCUGUAUAGCUUUAGAUUUAACCAGCUUAGCGCCGCGAUGUAACUUUUCAGGAACUUUAGACAGGUUUUUAUGUUUCACACCACAUAAAUUUGUUUUUGAUUCCCUUACCGCAUCGAUAUUGUCAAUUUGGUUGAUACUUGAAGUCUUGAACCCAUGUUAUAGUGCAUCGAUGUGCCUACGAUACAAAUAGAUUGACCUAACUGAAUUGGCACGCAAUUAUGUGGCCUACAGUAGUGUCCUAAGAUCAGUGAGAUGCUCAAUCAUAAACGUGGUUUUAAAUUAUUCUAAAUCAACCAUUCCAUUUGAUAUUUUCUGUACAUUUUCUGGGUUUUAAGUAAGACAUAGCAAGUGAUAGCAAAAAUGUUAAAAGAGUCGGGAAAUGUUCUCUUUGGAUUGGGAAUAUGUUGAACGAACUGGGGCUAGAUCUUCAUUUCUCAGUUAACAGAGGUCCUGGACAUGUUUGAUGAGCUUCAGAACCAUUUUAGCUCGUUUUUUAUUAGAUUCAAAUUUGUCGUAAAUGAUCACUGAAACUGCGGAGGGUUUGGUCAAGGAAUUGUUUUUUUCAUUUUUUUUGAGAAAGAUAAGCACCCUACGUCUUGUUUCCACCUACUAGUUUGAGCUCAUAAUCGUAGCCAUGUUGUUUUCUCUCGGAAUUUUUAUCGAUUAACCUGACCUGAGUCAGUGGAUUCGCCGCAUUUACUUUAUAUAUAUUUCUUGCAAUCUAUAUCACUUGUUUCAUGCAUCAGUUUCUCGAGGAAUACAUGGCACCGGCGCGAAGAGAAUGGGCGCGCAUGCACACGACGAGCCGUACUACCUCCACGCGAAGCACAUGUACAACCUGGACCGGAUGAAGCACCAGAAGCUGAAGAUGACUCUCUCGGUGCUCACGGCCUUCAGCAUCGGCGUCGCCGUUCCCGUCUUCGCCGUCAUCUUCCAACAGAAGAAGACCGGCUCUGUGUGAUUGUCUCUGAAUGUCGGAAACAACAAAGAAUUUCGAUGUUCCUUGCACGGCGAUGUCGAAGCCAUUCGAUUUUAUUUGCUCUUUUUACCUUUUCUUGCAAUCUUAAAUUUGAUGAACGGAUGCUUUACCACGUAAUCUGUAGGUUGUGGCCAAGAUAGUGUAUUAGUGCGUGCUUGUAUUGUACCUUGGUUACACUUCGCGGUUAUCUCGUGUUUUUAUUUCUAGAUCUUAUUUCUAGAUCACCAGGUGUUUAAAGUUUUUGUUUUUUUUUUUUUAAGAUCUAGUACUUCUCAUUUUGAGUUUAUUUGAGUAAUGGAGAAGUGCGUAACUGUGCAUAACUAUAGUCUAUAAUAAUGUUCGGCAGGGUUUGUAAAGUUUUAUUGAAUUAAAAACGGUUUAAAUUGACAAUAUGAAAACAAAAUAGUCAAAUUUAUGUAUUUGUGAGAAUUUUAUUUAUAAAACACUAUUUUGGCAUAAAUUCUAAAACUGUUAUGGCCCAAAAAUAAAAAGAAAAAAGGGGAAAAUCCUUAGACCAGAUCGAAAAUUCCUAUUCGCACGACGUAUUUGACAAUUUGCCCAUGAGCGAUUCACGUAAAUAACCCCGUGCGGAGUGCGAAGUGCGAAGUAGUAGUAAAACGGAACGAGGAGGAGGCGCACAUGGCGACGCUUCGCCGUGCGGAUCCCCUAGCCGCGGCGAUCCCGCUUCUCCUACUGUGGAUCUGGGCUAGGGUUUCCUCCGCCGCGCUCCUCGGCGGCGGCGCCGCCUCCGCCGCCGCCGGCGGGUUCCCGGUCGACGGCUCCGUGAUCGAGCUCGAUGAGUCCACCUUCGACGCCGCCGUCGCCGCCUUCGACUUCAUCCUCGUCGACUUCUACGCCCCCUGGUGCGGCCACUGCAAACGCCUCUCCCCCGAGGUCCCAAUCCCCACCUCUCUCUCUCUCUCUCUCUCUCUCUCUCUCUCUCUCUCUCUCUCGGUGAUGCAGGAUCUGGAUUGAUCUGAGGUUUGUGUUCCUUUUCAUGCGAGAGAUCGAAAAACUAUGAUAUCUUGCUUAGUUUGUGCGGUAAAUUAUGGUUAUGGGUCGGGCCUUUUGUAAAUUGAAACUGAUUUAGUGCUCUGAUCGAUUCCCUUCCGUUAGUUUUGUUAAUUACCAGAGAUAAUGCUGCUAAUAGGAAAUUGUAUGGGAAUCUUGGAUUUCCUGGUGAUCCUUUUGGUGCGAUUGUUCUAAAAAUGAAGAGAAAUUAAGUGUUUAAUUGUGGAGUGUUCGGUGCUAAUUUUAGGACAAUUGGUAAUAGGUUGAUCCAAGUACUAAAAACCGGGAAAUGUGUAGAGAGCUGAAAAUGCGAGCGAAGUCAAAGUUCUACUAUGGUUGCGCUUUUGUUGACAUAAUUGCGACUAAACCAUACAUCAAUUUUAGUGAAAAUAGAAAACAUAGUUACACCAUUGACCACAACAGCACCAAGGAGAUCGUCUGCCUAGCCGUGGGCUACAUUUUGGAGGUUAAGCUAUUUUUCAUGGAAUUGGGCCCAUGACUAAGCGGUGGACCUCCUCGACGUCAUGUUGAUCGAAGCCAGAACUAAUGUUUCUACUCUUACCAGACUUGAUUUAUGGUAGUAAUUGCUAUCACAUCAAUCCAAACACCCCCAAACCGUAAAUAAAGAAGGGCUUGUUUGGAUGUGAGAACAAGUUAUACGGUUAUCAGUUUGAUGGACGGGGGGUUUCGUUUGGUGAUUACGACGUAAGAAUCCAUAGUGCAGUACCAAUGACAUGAUUUUUCAAGAAAGUCUAUUCCACCUCCAGGAUAAUUUGUCUAUCAUUAAAAAUCCAGAUUAUUUUUUUCUUACCUUCUCAACAACCAACUAACUAAUAAAAUGAUCCUUUUCUAAACAAGAGGUGAUAUAGACUUCCAUAUUUGAGAUGAUAACUUUCAGGCUGUGCUAUUAGCCGAACUUUCAGUUCAAAGGGAGAGGUGAUAAUUUUUUGAUUUAUGGUGUUUCUGCAGUUAGAUGCAGCUGCUCCGGUGUUAGCUGGGCUGAAUGAACCUAUUGUGAUUGCUAAAAUAGACGCUGACAAGUACAGAAGACUAGCUUCCAAAUAUGAAAUUGAGUAUGUUGUUCUCUCCUUAAAUUUUUCAGUUGAAUCUCGAUGAGACAAGAAGUUUUGUUAUCUGUUUAAUUUAGAUCUGUAUAUGCACUUUAAAAAAGUUUAAUUGUACAGCAAACUUAUUUAUUUCCUUUAAUUUCUAUUUCUUAAUGCAGUGGAUUUCCUACACUGAAGCUCUUUAUGCACGGUAUCCCUGUUGAAUAUACAGGACCCCGAAAGGCUGAGUUGCUUAUUCGUUUUCUUAAGAAGUUUGUUGCACCCAAUGUUUCUCUCCUCGAGUCAGAUUCUGCAGUCCGUAGCUUCAUUGAGACAGUUGGCAUGAAUUUUCCUAUAUUCAUAGGCUUUGGGUUGAAUGAAUCUGUAAUUACUGAUUAUGGAAGUAAGUACAAGAAAAAAGCAUGGUUUUCAGUUGCAAAAGAUUUCUCUGAGGAUAUGAUGGUUUUCUACGAUUUCGAUAAGGUCCCGGCAUUGGUAUCCCUUCAGCCGAAAUACAAUGAGCAAAAUGUCUUCUAUGGCCCUUUUGAAGGUAAAUUGGCUAACCCAUAUCCUAAUUUAUUUUUUGGUCUUGAAAUGAGCUCGGGGGCGUGAGAGUUGGUCAGAAGUGAACCAUGCACAUCAGCACAUAUGUGAUGUGGUUUUUGAAAUGGCUCCUCCGUGAGAAAGCAGAAGCUUCAAGAAAUCAAGAGUUUGGCUAACAAAUUGUUCGGAGCUUUUAUUGUGAUGCGAAGCUAAAACGAUCUUUUGUACUCCAAAAGAAAAACCUCUAUUUGAAACUUCUGCUUCCGCUGUAGCAAAAAGCUGUAGAAGAUACUAAUAAAAAAAAAUUGUUGGUUGUUCGAACAGCUUGUCUUAACAUCACUUCUACAGAAGCUCCAUUCAAGCUGAACAGAGCCAUUAUAAGACUCCUCCAUUUACAUUACUGAAUUUAUUUGGCACAAAAUACAAGUAUCUCAAUUUUUUCAUUUCUGAUUCUCAUGCAUAUGCUUUUGUCCAUAGUAGCGUAAUUAGAUUGUCAUGUUGAGCUUGUAGGGAAUUUCUUGGAAGAUUUUAUAAAGCAAGCCCUGCUUCCUCUCACUGUUCCCGUUAACUCGGAAACACUGAAGUUGUUGACUGAUGAAGAGAGGAAAAUCGUUCUGACGAUUGUGCAGGAUGAGUUCGAUGAAAAAUCAGUGAAUUUAGUUAAAGUUUUGAAGUCUGCUGCUACUGCAAAUCGUGACCUAAUAUUCGGCUAUGUUGGAUUCAAGCAGUGGGAAGAGUUUGUUGAUUCAUUUGGCAUCUCCAAGAGCUCGCAACUUCCAAAAUUGCUUGUUUGGGACGGGAAUGAGGAAUAUCAACUAGUAAGUUGAGAUUAUUCUCUCAAGAAUGUUACUCGUAUAAAUUUUUUUUUAAAACAUGGUUUUCCAUUUUUCACUAAUAUUGCCAAUUCUUUUCAGUUAAAUUCCUAGAGGUCUUAUUGUUCACUAGUCACUGAAUGUUGCUGUCUUUCUCAUAUGAAUAUGUCUGCAACUGCUCUUAAGGAAGAAUCUCAAUAAUUUAAGAUAGUGAUUUGUUCAUAUUUUUCUCUGCAAGUUAGACCUGACUGGAGAUCAUAAAACAUUUAGUCACAUAGAUCUUGAAAAUGGUGCUAUGUCAACUUUGAUGUCAUAUAGUAGAAAGAAGGAAAUAGAAAUGGUUUUGUUAUAACAGGAAUAAGAACCUACAAGUGAAUGUUGCGUAGGUAAACAGGAUAAGAAAUGGACUAAUAGUAACAAAAUUUGUAUUAGAGGGAGAAGUGCUUCUAUAUCAUUAGUGUUUACGUACCUCGCGUAGAUUACUUGUUCACAUCAAAUGAGAAUUUUCGGUAGUUUAUCUUCUUCGCGAAUCAUUUCAAUGCUUACCAACGGUCCAAUAAGUUAUAGACAUCUUACCGAACUGCUUCUUGGUGAAAAGGUUGUUGGUUCGGAAAGGCUAGAGGAGGAGGAUCAAGGCUCCCAGAUAAGCCGUUUUCUCGAAGGAUACCGAGAAGGAAGAACUAUAACGAAGAAGAUCAGCGGCCCUUCGCUGCUCGGUUUCAUUCACUCCUUAAUCAACAUCAACACGGUUUACAUUAUCGUCUUCGCGGUCGCUCUUUUCAUGCUUAUCCAACAUUUGACUAGCAAAAGCGCAGAUGAUUCUCCGCAAACAGGAAGAGCUCGCGUCGAACCCGAAAGCUCAUAUAAACCCAUACCCGAGAGAGCGAGCCAGGGUGAAGGUUAUUCACCAGGUGAUAAAGAAGACUGAGUGCGAGAUCUUAUUAUCUAUCUAUCUUGGCGACAUUUCUUCGCAUUUUGCAGAGACUGACACUUUUGUAGAACAAUCUCUUUGUGUAGAUCACAUGUAUCACAUUAUUUAUUCAACAGUUUAUUAGCUAAUUAGCCCAUGUUACAAGCUUGAAACUAUGGUUGUCUUGGAAUUUCCAUGUCAGAAUUUUGUUCUGUGUAUUACAUAGUUCUCUUUGCUGUUUGUGUGGAUUCUGAAAUGGUGGGAAAUUGAAGGACAAAAAAAGAGCUUUUGCUGAAGUGCUUUUUGAGACUUUUUAUUUGUCCAGAGUCUAGAUGUUGUUUUUUUAAAACAAAAUGCAUGUGCAAGAAAACAUCUUGUUAUUAUGUAAUUAAAUAAUGAAAUAGAAUAGAUGUGACUAUUUAGAAAUUUAAAAAAUAUUAAAAGGAAAAUAAAGGGUACCAAAUCAAGGAACAAUACAAGAUUUUAUUCUCUUUUUUUUUUAAAAAAAAAUUGCUAAGCUUUCUUAUUAUUAUUAUUACUAUUCAAGAAGCUUCUAUAUCCUUAAAAGGCCCUAGGCCGAAUAAUGAUUACAUCAUCAUAGCCUUUUUAAUAUUACAUCAUUUUUUGUUGACACGUGUUCUCAUUCUCAACCGUCCGAUCAUAAAGCCCACUCCGGCCCAGCGACGCCAUUGACAAUCCGAUCAAGUUGACCAAACCAACCUUUACAGCUCCCCCCAAACGAACGGUCCAGAUCUCCCCACGUCACACCAUGGGAUAUCCAUCAACCACCACCGUCCACCGCUGAAUCUACGUACUCUCGCACCGAAAAGCCCCUCAUCGGACGGUCCAGAUCUCCCCUACGGUGAAAAUGUACAAAAACCCCCUCAACUAAACUACUAUUUUGACAUUGGCCCCUCUACUGUUUUUAAUUUGUUAAUUUCUAAUGAUUCUAGCUUUAUUGGCUGAAAAAGGUUUAUAUUUAUUAUCUUCAGUAAGAUACAUAAAUUUUAUAACAUUUUUAAUUUAAUUAACUGAGACUUCAUUUGGGAUUGUUUGCUUUACGUAGGAUGAGAAAGUACGAUGAAAAAAUAUUCUAUUUAUUUUUUUACGUAAUAUUGUGUUUCACAUAUCGCGAUUAGUCGGUUACGAUAUAUUUUUCACUGUCGCACCAAAAAAUACAUAAGCAUAUUCCAAUAUUCUUUUAUCCCAAUUCUAUUUUAUCUAAUAACCUUAGAUAGAUCUUAAUACCAAAUUAAGCGUAAGGCUUCGGAUGGAAUUGCGAAAAAACGUUAGGUGCAGUGAGAAAGUACGAUAAAAAAUUACUGUGUUUGUUUUUGUACGUAUUAUUAAGUUCCAUAUAUCGCGAUAAAUUGGUUACGAUAUAUUUUUUGCGAUCCCACUAAAAACGCAAAAGUAUAUCACUAUAUAUUUUUAUUCAACUUUAUUUUAUCUAAUACGGUCAGAUAAGCUUCAUACAAUACCAAACUAAACCUAAAUCUCAAUUCUUAAAAUUCAAAACUGGAGGGAUGUAAUAACAAAACAAAGUUAAGGGGUCUUCAUACAAUUUUCUUUUUGAGUUUUUAUUUUUUUGGGGUCACAUCUCUCCCCCUCUUCUCCCAAUUCUUCUUCUCCUUCCUUCUCUCUCUCUCUCUCUCUCUCUCUCUCGCGUCGAAGCCGUUAACGAUCUCACGAGCGACGAAGAGAGGAGUCCGAAGAAACCCUAACCCUAACCCUCUCCUCUCAACCAUCUCCAUCGCUAAAACCCUAACGCUCCUUCUCCCCAAUCCUUAUCUUCUCCUAACAGAGUGCGAACGAGACGGGGGAGAGGGAGAGGAUGAUCGUGUUGCGGCCAUUAUCGCAAUCUCGGAAACUGUAGCUUCGCCGACCAUGGCCGCGUCGUCCUCCGCCGCGAACUCCCAAUCGCCGGCGCUCAAGACCUACUUCAAGACCCCCGAGGGCCGAUACAAGCUCCUGUACGAGAAGUCGCACCCCGCGGCCGUGCCCCACCACUCCCAUGGCCGAACCGUCUCGCAGGUACCGCUCAAGGGUUAGGGUUAGGGCUUUUGGGGUCCCAAUUUUAGGGCUGUUGUUGAUCUUACGUGUUCUUUGGUAGUUGACUGUUGCAUACUUGAAGGAGAAGCCUCCGAAUCAGAAUUCGGCAGCGCCGUCGACCUCGAGCUCGAGCGGUGGGGUGAGGUCGGCGGCGGCGAGGCUCCUCGGAGCCGGAAACGGUAGUCGCGCUCUUAGCUUCGUUGGGGGGAAUGGUGCGAGUCGCGGCGUAUCGGGGAGUAGUAGGAUCGGAGGGCCGGCCGGAGCUUCGGCUGGAUCGAGCUGUUCUCAGAUCACCGCGAAUUAUGAUGGCAAGGGGACUUAUCUUAUCUUCAAUGCGGCGGAUACUCUCUUCAUCAGUGACCUCAAUUCACAUGACAAAGUUUCUGCUUUUACUCGUCUACUUGCUUCCUUAUGCUGUUGCAUGAUCACUGAUAGUGGGUUUUAUCGCAGGAUCCGAUCAAGUCCAUCCAUUUUAGCAACUCGAACCCGGUGUGCCACGCCUUUGAUCCCGAGGCAAAGGAUGGGCAUGAUUUGCUCAUUGGGCUUCACUCCGGCGAUGGUGGGGAAAGUUGCUUACUAACUUGGUUUACUAUGUUAUUAACUAUCAUAUUAUCUUAUUGUGAGUUUUGUACUUCUUUUUUGUGCUGUUAUAGUAUAUUUGGUGUCACUCAGACAGCAAUUGCAAGAUCCUGGGAGGAAGCUUGUGGCAUCUCAGCAUUUUAACAAAGAAGGCGUGAUUAAUAAUAGGCAUGUACUGUCCACUGUUACUCUAUAGUUUGAAUCGUUAGAGAUUAUAUAUGAUCUUGAAGUUAUCGUGAUAGAACUUGACUAUAUAAAUGAAUAAAAAGGUCUCUUUUUGAAGGUCAAUUAAGCGUUUUUAGAGUUAUCCACUCUAACAAAAUUCACCAGUGAUAGAUUUCGUAUUUGUCGUUUUCUUUUAUAUAUCUUGCGGUACAUAUCUGCAAAGUUUUUAGCUUUUUGUGCUUUUGUGAUCUUAUCAUUUUCUGUUACCAUGAUGACCAUCAGUAAUAUAUGGGUGUUGCAAUGUUUGUUAUAACUAUAACUUUUCUUACUAAAAAAUGCUUACCAUAUUAUUUGCAUGCGAUCAAAAGGAGGCUUACAAAGGCCCCUUUAGGAGGGUCCUGUCUGUUAGUAUAGUAAGAAGGACACUCUCAUGAUGUCUACAUGUCGACUACCCCAAACCAAAACCCCGUAUGUGAGGCAAUGCAUUGAGGUUUCUUACCAUUCACACGACGGUGGUUUGUCACUUCUAGCACACCCAUCAAUGAUAAUACAAUAACAUAGUUUAGAAGCACUCAGUGGCAUGCACCGACAUUUAUGGCUUUAUAUAUAGUGCUGCAGCCCCAUGACCCUCCUGCUUAGGCGGUGCAAUGACUAUGGAUUGGGAUGCACAAAAGCUUUAUAUAGAUCGUACUAACAUUAUGGUAAUUAAUCAUUAUGGUAAUUAAUCAUUAUGGCAAUUAGUCAUUAUUAGCAACCUAUCUAAAAAAUCCGGCUUGAUAUUUAUUAUGUUACCCUGCUCUUAGUCCUACAAUAAACUCAUGUAGAAUAGAGGAUGUGGUCUGCUAUGAAAUUUUAGUUGGAUGGUAUAAAUUCGUACUUCAUUGUUUACUUCUAUUUUAUUGAAGUUACGAAAGCCUAUGUUGAGAGAGGAAGAUAGUGGUUAAGGUUAAGUGAUGAUAUAGUCUUUGUGUAGAAUAAAGAAACUAGAGAUGAUAAAACAAGAAGUUUAUGUCCUCAAGGUGGAAAAAAUUUUUUGGGGCAAUUUUAUUGUUUACUUCCAAACUUAAUCGUACGCCAUGACUAGUCUUAUCCUCCUAUUUGAUGCUUACAGGAAAGCAUAAUAUGGAUUGGUGACUCCUAUUUAUAUUAGGACAAGAGAGAACGAAGAAAAAGAAGAGAUAGAAUACUAUACACAUUUAAUUCAAAUAAAUCUAUCUUAGUUAAAAUGCACUUUAUGUUAUUUGAGUAUGUCUCUAUAAUCUUAUUUACUUUACUUUAAUUUCUGUUGAGUGUUAAUAUAGGAUCAAAUUAUAAUAUACUUUUACCUUGUCUAAUUUAAAUAAGAUACUAUGAUAUUUCUAUCUUAUAAAUAUAAAGUUGGACUGUAAGUUUUUUUAAAGGAGUUUUCUAUAAGUAUGAUGAUGUGGCUUCAUGAAAUUGCUCAAAUUUCUCCAGUUUUAUAUUAUAUUAUAUUGUUUGAUAGUAAUAAGCGUUCUACUGAUUAGAUACUCAUCAUAAUGUUUAUUUAAAAUUGCAAUGUAAAUGCAAAUUCAUUCCCACAAGAGAAGUCUAGUUAUUUUCACUUUGAUGACCCCAUUGGUUCUAUGGAGGCAGUUCUUGAUUUGUGCACCAUCAAUGAGGGUGAUGGGUGGUCGAUGGUUCAGUUCCUCUAUGAACUUUAAUUCUGCUGAUGAUUGGCUCAGUAUAAUUAUGUCUGCAUUACUUAUUGCAACUGUGCAAAAUAUCAUUUAUUAACUAUCACUGUUUCUACAGUCGAUGUACGUGUCUUGCAUGGGUACCAGAACGUGAUGGCACUUUCGUUGCCGGCCAUGCUGAUGGAAACUUGUAUGUCUAUGAAAAAGUAGGGCAUGAUUAUCUUAAUUGUUUCUUGUCAUUAGUAUCAUUGCCCACUGAUUGUUCUUCAAUCUACCCGCUGAUUGUUCUUUAAUCUAUUUAGAGCAAGGAUGGAACUGCUGAUUGUUCAUUUCCUGUCAUCAAGGAUCCAACUCAGUUUACUGUUGCACACGUAAAAUCGAGUAAGGUAAUUUACGAGAUUGCUUAGUUUAUGUUCAUGGCUUGUGUUGAACUUUUUUAAUCUAGAUUCAGCUAUUUUCCUUGCAGAGCAAUCCAAUUGCUAGAUGGCAUAUAUGUCAAGGUUCAAUUAAUAGCAUUUCUUUCUCAACAGUUGGGACAUAUUUGGCCACCGUCGGCAGAGAUGGUACUUGCUUGACCUACCAUCUCAGAUCUGUACAUCAUUAUACAUUAUUUGUAUGUGUAACAUUUUUAUGCUUGGUUAACCAGAAUGGGGUUACUCUUGCAGGUUACUUAAGAGUAUUUGAUUUCUCAAAGGAGCAGUUAAUAUUUGGUGGGAAAAGCUAUUAUGGUGCUUUGCUAUGUUGUGCUUGGAGGUAAUGAGAUAAUGCAUUCAUGUAGGUGUUUUGCAAAUUUAUUUCACAGUGCAUUUUAGCGAUGAUCUUUCUCUUCAUAUCUGUAUGCCUUUCUCUGAUCUUGACUAUUCUCACCUGCUUUAGAUUUAGAAACGUUCCAACUUCCUACAUAACAACAAACAUCAGGUUUUAUUCUAAUGUUUUCUGCAUUUCUUAUAUGGAAUAUUGAAGAAAGCUUAUCAAAUAUGAACGUGGCAUCUGGUUCUUCUUAUUCCAUCGUUCUCUAUAAUUUCUCAUUAUAUUGUUUGUUUCCGUUAUUUGUACAUGCUACACCAUACAAGUAUAUGCAUUUCGAUCUAAGGUCUGCAUUGCUGCAUUUGUUAUAAGUCUUUAAGCUUUGUAAUGUAUGAAAGAAUAAGCCUGAACUGGCUUUGUUUCUCCAUCCCUGCCCAUGUCCUUAUCUGCAAAAAUACCCAUGUCAGCCAUUUUUUCUUGCUUAGGUUUAUUCAUUUUUUUCUACCAUAUUGAUGUACAUUCUUAGUAUGAAGUAUUUUAGGGUUCACAAAUGUGCUACAGUUACCAUAUAAUAUCCUCCGGGAACUGAGUUUCUCAUAUAGAUUGAUUUAUUCCAGAGAAAAUCUAACCAGGUCCUAUUUACUGUUUAUAGUCCGGACGGGAAGUAUUUGUUGACGGGUGGUGAAGAUGAUCUAGUACAGGUAUGGAGUAUGGAAGAAAGGAAGACGGUGGCUUGGGGUGAGGGGCAUAAUUCGUGGGUGAGUUUAAUCAAGUAUAUGUUCUUACGUACUGAAAUAUUAUUAAAAUGUCCUAAUAAGUUGAUUGGCAGGUUAGUGGAGUUGCUUUCGAUUCCUAUUGGUCGGCACCGAAUUCAGAUGAAUCAGGAGAAAGCGUCAUGUAUCGUUUUGGAUCCGUGGGUCAGGUAAUAUAUGAAUAUAGAGACCAUCAUCAUCUAUCCAUAUUAUUAUAGCUCCAGCAGAUUAAUAGGUCCACAAAUCCUACAAUAUUAUCAUCAUGAGGUGGUCCCUUUGGUCAUAACUGUGGAAUUGAGAAGUUUGUGUGCUUUUAACCGUCGUUCAUUUAACUUUUGUUACUGUCUUUAUGUACUUACUGUAGUUUAUUCUGUCUUUGGGGUUCUGUAUAACAUUAGGAGCAAGAGAGAUCUCUUAACUACCUGUAACAAAAGCCAUUCUUGUUUAACAAUUUUAAUAACCAGGACACGCAGCUGCUGCUUUGGGACUUGGUGAUGGACGAAAUCGUCGUGCCCCUCCGCUACCACCCCCCGGGAGGCUCCCCGACUUAUAGCAGCGGAAGCCAUUCUGCUCAUUGGGAAAACAACAACAUCAUCCCCGCGGGCACCCUCCAACCUUCUCCAAGCAUGCGUGACGUCCCGAAACUCUCGCCGGUUGUUGCCCACCGAGUCCACGUGGAGCCCCUCUCCGGCCUUUCGAUCACCAACGAAUCGGUCGUCACGAUCUGCCGCGAGGGGCAUAUCAAGAUCUGGGUGCGGCCCGGGCACGGUGAGAGCAACCGGUCAAAUUCCUCCUCCGACUUAGCGGUGAGCUCUAGUGCCGUUUCUAAAGACAGAGUUGUUACUUCCUCUUUGUCGUCGUCGUCGAUUAAAGGAAGUAGCUCGAGCUCAAAGCAACACUCCACUGUUCUUUUCUCGUGAUUUGAGGUUAAAUUUAUGUGGGUAUUUAAUUCGAGUUUUUCUUUUUUAAAAAAAAUUAGGGGUAGAAAUGAAGUGCUUAGGGUGUGAGAAAAAGAGAGAGAGAGCUCUCAUGGUAUGAGAUUUUCUGGAUAAAAGGAUUGUUAUUAGAUUUAGAUAUUUGCCAUUUGUGUGGCAGCAGAGAAUAAUGGUGGAUGAGAUAUGCUCCUUCCUGUACAGAUAAAUAUUCCAAUCUAAAGGAAACAUGCUUUCAUGUUUUUAUUUUUAUACUAUUAUUCGUCGAAGUUACAGUAUUUUUCAACUAGAUUCUUGUCAUUGUUGGUUAACUUUGUAACUUCCCCAUGUGCACAAAUGUUUUAGAUUACAUGGACUUCAAAUAAUGUGCAAUUUACUGUUUUCUCUGUAUAAUCAAAUUGUUAUGUGAGCACUAAAGAGACCCAUGAGCAAGUGCUUUUAUAUGUGCUAAUAAUAAUGUUCUAUAGUAAAAUUACAACAAAAGAGUUGUGUUUUAGGCUACUCGUAAGAUCACGCAAAAUAGAGAUAGAUUACAAACUCAAUGACACAGAGACCGGCGAGGAGCCAGUAGAAGUAAUCGAGAUGCCCGCAGUUCAGGUUAUUGCAGAACCAGCUCUCUCCGAACCUUGCCGUCGCCUUGUCGAUGACGGAGACCAGGAAUCCGCUGACAAAAUCUCCGACGCCGCCAAAGGUACUCAAAUAGAGCGCGAUCCCGAGGCUUCGCAAUACAUCAUGUACUUGGUCGUAGAAGAACUCUUGUAACCCGACAAUCGUGAACACGUUGGCGAUUUCGUCGUCGACGCCGAUGAAAUCGGCCUCAUCCUUGGUUUCACACAAACAAUUUGAGCCAUCAGCAAACCUGUCAUGAGGAUUUUACAUUAAUAUUAUAGAUAUUCAGGGAAAUCCCAUAGGUUAUUUUUUGUGUGUGUAAUUUAGGUCCUUUGAACUUCAAUGCUAUUGUGUACUUCACUCCAAAUUUUGAGAAGUUCACAUAUAGGCCCCUACUAAAGUCCAUUACUUGUACAAUUUGAUCCUUAUGUUCACUUUUAUUAAACUGGUCCCUUAAAUGAAAAGUAUAUGAGGAUCUGAUUUUAUGAAAUUCCGAGUAUGAAAUGAACAGAGCAACUUCAUGUGAUUUUAACUACUUUGUCAAUAUCAAAACUUGAUAUAAUAAUAUCAGAAAUUUCAUAAAUUUGAAAAAUUUAAAAUUUAAUCAAACUUACUCACAAAAUUGACCAUCUCUACAUUGUUGCACUAUGAGCCCCUCUCUCGCUUCCACUUCGCUACUACUGCACCCAUGACAAGAGGGAGUAAACCUCCACCCCUUGCACCAUGCAAGAAUCCGCCUCGAUAUCCGCGCAAGCGGCACCGGUAGGCCCGCGAGCCGAUCAGGAAGACGGUGAGGGCGGCCGCCAUGAAGGCGCAGGGGAUGCCGAACCCGAGCCCCCAGCCGACGACGUUGCCCUGCACGUAGCUGCAUGCCUAAGGUGGCGGUGGCGGCGGCCCCGUCGCACAUGCCGAAGUACCACCAGUUGAAGAAGGAGCUCUUGGACUUGCACUCCUCCGGGUCUGACUCGUCGAACUGGUCGGCCCCGAACGCAUGCAUGCGCGGCUUGUGCCCGCCCUGCGCCAAUGCUAUCAAAUAGCAGUAGAAGAUCAAGGAUUCGAGUCUCAGUUUAGUUCGCGAGGGGGGGAAGGGACAUUUCGAAAUAUCGGAACUAUAAUUAACUUACAAUAUUUGCAAAUUACAUAUUCAAACUCUUAAAAAAUUAUAGUUCUACUAUCAAAUCUGGUAGCUUAAUAAGAAAAUAUUCUUUAAUCUAGUGAGAUAUAAUCUCUUGAAGGAAUAUUUUGUUAAAAAUGUUACAAUCAAGAAAAUUAAUUUACUAGGUAAGAGAAAAUUACCUAUAGGUACCCCUCACACCAUACCUACUUUCAUGUCAUGUGUGUCCUCAAAUAAAAACACAAAUAAAAGGUUUUUACCCAAUUCAUAACCUUGGGGGAAAGAAAAAAUAAAAUCACAAAUAAAAGGUUUAAGUGAAAUGCUGCACUCCAAAAUUUACCAAUGAAUAAAAUAAAAAUUCACCUAAUAACCAGUUUGGUGAUUUGUUUUUCACUAUUUUAUACAAACUAUUGAGAUUCUCAAUAGCUAUAUAUAUAUAUAUAUAUAUAUAUAUAUAUAGAAUUAUGCUACUAUACUAUCAAUAGUACCAAGCCUUUGGUACUAUUGAGUUUUCGGCCGUUGGAUGAAAGGAUGUGCGGUUAGGAUGAUAGUGGUUCCGGUUAAAUUGAUAGUGGUCCCCUAGAGUUGAGUGGGUGGUUGGUUUAAUAGUAUAAUCUAACGGAUGAAAAUGAUCAAAGGGUAAAUCUAAUGGUAGAAAACUCAAUAGUACCAAAGGCUUGGUACUAUCGAUAGUAUAGUAGCCUUCCGUGCACGGAGCCUUCCGUGCUUCUAACUCAUUUUUGAUAUUGCGACUUUCGAAUCGUCAAUCGGCUCCGUUAAACUUGAUCUAGAGUAUUUGAAGUAGCGGAUUCAUAUGUCACCUAAGGAACUUUGUCUUAUUUUGGCCACGACUUUGGUGCACUAAGUUACUAUUUUUAGCCCGGAUCUAGUCCCAAUGCAAGUUUUGGGCUAUAUAUAUAUAUAUAUAUAGAGUGAGGCUACUAUGCUAUCGGAAGCACGGAGCCUUCCGUGCUUCCAGCUCAUUUUCGAUAUUGCGACUUUCGAAUCGUCGAUCGGCUCCGUUAAACUUGAUCUAGAGUAUUUGAAAUAGCGGAUUCAUAUGUCACCUAAGAAACUUUGUCUUAUUUUGGCCACGACUUUGGUGCACUAAGUUACUAUUUUUAGCCCGGAUCUAGUCCCAAUGCAAGUUUUGGGCUUCGUAUUAGAUUUAGGGCUCGACCCAACAUGUAUGUAUUUCAUAAGAUCAUAAGUUAAAUCAGGCCCUAUCAUUCACACAUAGGCCUAGAUGAUAUCAAAUUCCUUUCAUUUUAUCAGCGAAAGGAAUACAUAACCAAACGCUCGGUGCUAUUGAUAGUAUGAUAGCCGGACUCUCUCUCUCUCUCUCUCUCUCUCUCUCUCUCUCUCUCUCUAUAUAUAUAUAUAAUGAGAUGCAUCUUGCGAGGGAAACCAUGAUCACCAUCAUCUCAGUCGCUUUAACAUUUAAAUUGAUCAGUUUGAUCUUUUCUAGUACAGUUUGCUAAAUGAUUUGAAGUCUCAAGCUCGAAAAUCUAGCUGUUUUACAUUUUUAAUUCAGUUUAUUUUUAAAAAAUAAACGAAGCGGAUAAUGCACUGUCUUUCUCUCUACAAAAAAAAAAAAAAAAAUUCAAUCGAUGGACCAAUCGGUAACAAUGAUCUCCUUUAAUAAUGAGAUUUCUCCUGCAAAAUAAUUUUCUUUUAUGAAAUGAAUAUUUUAUAAAUCUAAAGAGCAUAACAGGGUACACAAGCCUAAUAUAUUUGGCCUGUAAAUCUUGAUAUUCAAUCCUAAAAACAGAAAAUAGAGUUCUCAUUUUAACUUUUAACUAGCCUGUUUGGUUAUAACCCAAGCUACAGAUUACACUUCACUGUAAAGCAGAACAAAAAUUAUGUAGGAUGCAUUCUAUAAAAAUCAUAUAAAACACCGUAAAUCAUAUGCCGUGUUAUGUCUAAUCAGAAGGUCCUAAAUUAUUAUACAAAAUUUAGAUACGUACAAAGCUUCUAAGUGGUGUCCAAAUAGGACACAAUUGCUUCAUAUGUGUGGAAAAAUCAAAAAUAAUUGUGAGAUUUGGAGCCUCUUUCUGAAUAUAUUUAUACUUAUAUAUUCUUUAUAUAACACCCCGAAAAUGAUUCUGAUUGGAUUAUAUGAGUAAAUGCAUGCUAGUAAUAAUAAUUGAACUUAAGUAUUUUGCAUCGAUGGUUUAGAUCCAAUAAGUUAUUAUUGAUAGCAGGUCUGAUCGUUACAAUUAAUAUCAGAUUCAAAUUUUGAUCUCGGGACCUGUGGGUUAUAGGCCGACCACGCUUCCGCUACGCACUCUAAUAAACAUCAAAUACUAAUUGUCAAUAACUCUUUACAAAACUUGCAAUAAUAAUUCGUUAAACGCAAGAAUUUAAGUGCCGUGGCACGGAAUUGUGCCAAAAACUUACCGGCAUGGUACGGCACGAUGCAUGCCGAGCCGUGCCGAUGUGUGCCGGUCAAAAAAAUUCUUACGUGCCGGUCAAAAAAAUUCUUAUGUGCCGACACAUAAUAGUAUGAAAUAUUUAUUUUUUUUAGCAAUAAAAUAUUCUAACUAUUUAUUAUAUCUUUUUAUCACAUUUUUUAAACUUUUUUGGAGAAAUUACUUACUAAUUUAAAGAAUAGAGAGUUUUGAGCUGUGCCAUCGGCACAGGAUCUGUAUCGUGCCGGUAUUUUGUUUGUACGUACGGCACGGUAGAUACGGCCUGUACCGACGGACACUUAAAACCUUGGUUGGACCUAAACCACCAAUCUAAAAUGAUUAAAUUCAGUUAUUAUUACUAGCAUACAAGGUUUUAUAUGUACAAUCAGAAUCAUUUUCGGGGUGUUACACUUUACUACUAUUAAAAAAAUUUAAAUUUACCCUCUAUCCAAAAUAUCUUUCAAAAAUUCAAUUCAAUUAAUAAACCCGUGAGGGACAAGAAUAUUUGAAGAAAAAUUUUAAAACUAAAUAAGAAUAUUUCGAUCAUCCAGAAAUAGGCAAGAUAUUUUUAAAAAAAUUUUAAAGACAUAUUAGAUAUUAUCCCUGCGAACAUAAUGCCUUGUACUCUAGGAUGAUAGAGAUUGAAACUUUUACAAUUCAUUUUCCCAUGAUGAACUUAAUUAAAUUGGACCCAAACAAAUCACAAUGCAAUUGUUGUCCCCCACAAUAUAGUGGUUAUAACCUAGAAACAACUAUACAAAAAUCUCUCACAAUAAUAAAUACAACAUAUUAAUGCCCUCUCCCUUGUGGAAACUUAUCCUUUUUGUGUUGGAUUUGAUUCCCUUUAUCUAUUCUUUUUGGUGAUGAGACGUAUAGCUUACAAUUUUAUUACGAAAAUAUAAUUUUAGUUUGAUCUUUUCAUUGAAUGCGUGCGGCAUAUUCGGUGCAUUUCUUGCAUGAAACUUGCCUCAUUUUGAGGGAAAUUUAGACUGCAUUAACAAUUUGAUUUUAAUAGUGAAAUAAUGAUCUAUUCUGAAAGAGACAUAUGAUAUUUAUUAAAUUUAAUCAAAGUUAAUUAAUGAACGACGACAAAGAUGACGACAAAGAUCAAUAAAUAUAUCUGUGAAUAUCCGAUCGUGUCUGUUGAUUACAUUGCUGUUUCAAAAUUUUAUUAGAUUUGAUUUGUUUCAUAAUAAAAAUACUAUGAAAAUAUAAAAUACUGUCUACAGUAUUGGUGCAUUGAAUCUUAUCGGAAUUUAUAUUUAGAUAAACAUAAAAAAUGCGUAUGCAUUUUUCUCUUUUUUAUUUUAUUAUUUUAAUUUUUUUUUUAUCUUUUUAAUUAAUGUGCUACGGCCCAGUUUGAGCCGCAUCGUCUCCGGAUUGGUUGGAUAAGAAAAAAAAGCCGAUCCGACGUGGCACGGCAAACUGGAGCCAAUGAGAGAGCUCCACGUGUCGGCCAGCUGGCGUCCAACGGGCGAGCUUUAUGAGACCGCCACGUGGGUGGAGCGCACGUGCUUUUCGUGGCCGAUGGGUCCCACCCGAUGGGGAAUCUGCACGGGAUUUGGGUACAACGUGCUUGUCCUUUCCAGAGCUUGCACCUCGAGAUUCGUGCAAUCAAACCAACCAACGUGGCGAGGAAGGUUUUUAUGUGCACUCGGCCCACCACGUCAUCCGCUGAGCUGGUGGUCGCCGACAGAGUUGGUGGACCGGGUCCAGGCAGUAGUUUCGCCUCCUAGCCAAUCGAGUUAGUACAAAAGGCAUGCUUGGACUGAGUUAUAGUUAUGUUUGGAUUGAGCUGUAAUAGUGAUACCAAUAUACAAAAAUAAGAAAAAUAAAUUAUAUGCUAUAAAAAAUUUUUACAGUAAAUUUUUGUAAUAAAUUAUUUUUUCGAAAAAUUUCUAUGAAUGCUCUAAAUUAAUGGAUGUGGUUUGUCAAUGGCUUUGUGAGCAAAAAAAAAAAUUCUAAUGAAUUUGAUAAUUUUGUCGUUCAGUAAUUAUAGUAUAUAUUUUUUUCACUUGUAAAAAUAUAUUAUGUUACUUAAUAGACGACAGAUACGUAAAAAAAAUUUCUACACGAGAGUAUAUCUAAUGUGCUGCUUAAUUUUUAUAGAGUUAUAUAUAUAUAAUAAGUAAAUAUUGUAAAUUUUUUAUUUGACACCACAAUUGAGUUUUAUAUUAAAAAAAAAUUAAUUACUAAUAAAAUUUCCUAAAAAUUGUAGUUAUUUAUAACUAAAAGGGGGAAUUAAUAUGCUCUGGUCCACGGGUGCACGGUUACGAGAGAGAAGCUCGAUACGCGUUGAACACGUGGCGUUACCGGCUAUAGCCGGUCAAAGGUCGACCGCGAGAUCGACGGACGAGAUGGAGUGGAGCGAAGCGAAGCGAAGACCAUUCACUCCCUCCUCCUCCUCCUCCUCUCCCUAUAAAUAUGCCCCUCCCCCUAUCCACAUCUUUUUUUUUCUCCUCCCCCUCCUCCUCUCCCCGCUCUCCUCUCACCCCCUUGGGAUCUGCGCCCUCGCGAUCUUCGGAGGAGGCGCUCGUACUCGGCCUCGGAUCCCGGAGGUACGUUCUAUUACGAUUUUUUUUUUCGCGAUUUUUUUUUUGGGGGGUACUUUUUGGAGUAUAUGCUUGUCGUUUUCGCUCGAUCCCCAUUCGUUUUUGAGGCGACUCGCCUCGGAAUCGACGCAUCUGCGGCUCCAGAUGCUCUGUUCCGCGUGUCGUCUUGUUCGUGUUGCUGGAUCCGGAGGGAAUCUCCCUUCUGCCGUCUCUUGAUAGCGAAAUGUGGCUCGAUGUUCGUAGAUCGGAGCUUCAAUCCCGCUUUAGAUGCGAUUUUGCUUAAUUUUUUCCGAUUUUUUUGAGUUUGAUUUGAUCCGUUUUAUGCAGAUAUCGAGGCGCUUGCGGAUCUUAAACAGUAGGAUCGACUGAGGAGAUGGAGGGGGGAGGGAUGAGGAAGGUGUCGUCUCACACGUCCAUGGCGGACGCCGCCGCCGCCGCCGACUUCGACCUGUCGCAGCUCCUCGACAAGCCGAGGCUCAAGAUCGAGCGGCAGAGGUCGUUCGACGAUCGGUCGAUGAGCGAGUUCUCGCUCUCCGGGAAUGUCAGGGGAAUCGACGGCUACGAUAGCGUGUUUUCGCCCGGUGGGAUGCGGUCGGUGUUGGACACGCCGCUGUCGUCGGCUCGGAACUCGUUCGAGCCCCAUCCGAUGGUGGCGGAGGCGUGGGAGGCGCUCCGCAGGUCGUUGGUUUACUUCCGGGGACAACCCGUGGGGACGAUCGCAGCUUACGAUCACGCCUCUGAGGAGGUGCUCAAUUAUGAUCAGGUAUAAGUUUGGUUGCGCAAUUUCUCCUGUUCAGGUUAUUAUCAACAGUUUAGCAUCUCAGAUUUAGUAUAGUAGUUUAACAUAAUAUCAUUCAAUUGCUUAACCUUUACUAGAAUCAAUACCUGUUCAGCUUGGCUUCUAUGAUAGCUUCUCUAUUUCAAAAGCAGAAGUUAGAUGUACGUUUUGCUUGUGCUUGAGCGAGAAGCUUCUCAGGAUUUUAGCGAAAAGCAGUUCCGACUUUGUGGCUCUUCUGCUGAAGUGAUCUAGUUGAGCCUAAUAGUCAUUAAUGUUGAGAUGAUUUUAUGAGUGCGGCUUUUAAUGUUGUUCAUCCAAUACGUAUUUGCCAUAAUUAGCACUUCAUUGUGCUUUUAGCUUCGUAUCAGUUAAUAUUUAUUGCUUCUUUUCUAUACUGUUUUUAGUGAUCUUAUAGGUUUUCUGAUUUCCUUUAUAUUCAUCCCAUAUUGAGGUUAAUGCCUCUCUGCAGCUUGUGAGACGCAUCGUUUGAUAGUUUAAACGUGCUUUUCGGUGAACAUUUUCCAAAGAAAAUUUCGUAACAAAUGACCAUAUCUUGAUAAGUAUCGUCCUCUAUGCAGGUGUUUGUGCGGGAUUUUGUACCUAGUGCAUUGGCUUUCCUAAUGAACGGUGAAACCGACAUAGUAAAGAACUUUCUGCUAAGAACUGUCCAGAUCCAAAGCUGGGAGAAAAGAAUAGACCGUUUCAAGCUCGGGGAAGGAGCCAUGCCUGCGAGCUUCAAGGUGCUCCAUGACCCUGCUAGGGGAGUCGAUACCAUAGUUGCCGAUUUUGGCGAGAGUGCAAUUGGAAGGGUCGCACCAGUUGACUCCGGUUUCUGGUGGAUUAUCCUCCUUCGUGCCUAUACAAAAUCUACAGGGGAUUUGUCAUUGGCAGAGAGACCUGAUUGCCAGAAGUGUAUGAAGCUUAUAUUGACAUUAUGUCUGUCGGAGGGCUUUGACACAUUCCCUACCUUGCUCUGUGCUGAUGGUUGCUCAAUGAUAGACCGUAGAAUGGUGAGUACGUUAAACAUUACUCCAGCUUUGCUGUAACUGUUGUUAUGCUUUUUGUAUCUUUCCGUCUGCCGCUAUUCUUUCUAAGCAAGUUUUCAGAUUUGGUUGGUUUAUUUCUUUCGUGGUACUUCAAAUGUAGUAGAGGAGAUCAUUGGAGAUUAAUAAUGCAGUAUAUUUGGCUGACACGUUCUUGGAAAUUUUAUGCUCUUUAAUUCCCCUGUUAUGCUCUUUAAAUUUCCCUGUUUAGUGAUCAAUUUGAUUAAGGUUCUCACAUGUCUAGCACCAUAUAGUUAUUUUAUCUUCUUAUUUUCCAGCCAAUGUGCUGUUUAUUGAUUUCCACUAUCUCCGUAGGUGAAAAUUGUUUCUCUCUUUCUCUCUGUCUAAGAUCUAUACCUUAUCCAAUGAUUUGAAACAAAGAGUUCUGCUAUUGGUGAUUUUCUUAUUGCUCAUUCUGAUGCUCAGUGGUAAUCGACGAGGAAUUUCACUCCCUAUUUCUCUCUCAAAGGAGGAUUUUAGAAGCUUAGUGUUUGAAUUUUUAUGCCUAAUAUUUUUCUGUUAUUAAAUUCAUUUUGCAGGGUAUCUAUGGCUAUCCUAUCGAAAUCCAAGCCCUCUUCUUUAUGGCACUAAGAUGUGCUCUUACAAUGCUUAAGCACGACUCCGAGGGGAAGGACUGCAUAGAGAGAAUAGUGCAACGCUUGCACGCCUUAAGUUAUCAUAUGAGGAGCUACUUUUGGCUCGACUUCCAGCAGCUAAAUGUCAUUUACCGAUACAAAACAGAAGAAUAUUCCCACACAGCUGUCAACAAAUUCAAUGUUAUUCCCGAUUCUAUCCCUGAUUGGGUAUUUGAUUUUAUGCCCUCACGUGGCGGAUACUUCAUUGGGAACGUCAGUCCGGCGAGGAUGGACUUUAGGUGGUUUGCGCUUGGUAAUUUCGUCGCAAUACUGUCAUCUCUGGCAACGCCAGAGCAAUCUAUGGCCAUAAUGGAUCUAAUCGAAGAGCGGUGGGAGGAGCUAGUUGGUGAAAUGCCUUUAAAGAUUUGUCAUCCUGCUAUUGAGAGCCAUGAAUGGCGCAUUGUCACGGGUUGUGAUCCAAAAAACACCAGGUGGAGUUAUCAUAAUGGAGGAUCUUGGCCAGGUGUGUGAGAUUGAGACCACUUUGUGUUCUUGCAGUAUUUUCUCUCUUUCGUGCAUUAUAGAAUCGACAUGAACAAAGCAGAGAACCCCCUAUAAACAUUGCGACUUUCAUUUUGACAACGGAUAUUAUUGAUCCCUGCAUUUUACCGUCUUAACCUAUAACUCAUCACUUCGUAUCCCUCGGCCAGUUCGGUUCACACAGCUAAUUGGUCUAUGUAGUAAGCAUUGCUUAUAGGGGUUAGAUGGCAUUUGAUCUGUAUUCUUUUGGGGUGGCAAGUUCAAUAUUGAGAAGUAUUUGUGAACCAAACUGGCCGUUAUGAAUUGUAUCAUAUAUCCUUCAGAGUCCGUUAUCAUCGGAAGGAAUUAUAACACUCGCGUACAUGUCCUUUACUGUAUUUUGUGUUAGCUCUUUAACGAGUUGAUCAUUGUUUUGUCCAGAAGAAAAAACCAAAAAAAAAAAAGAUCAUCUUACCACUAAUAUCCCUCAAUUUCUUUCUUUUCUCAGUCCUUCUCUGGCUACUCACCGCGGCUUGCAUCAAGACGGGUCGACCCCAAAUCGCAAGGCGAGCGAUUGACCUAGCGGAGAGCCGGCUGUUAAAGGACGGCUGGCCCGAGUACUACGACGGAAAGCUCGGACGGUACAUCGGCAAACAAGCUAGGAAGUUCCAAACAUGGUCUAUCGCGGGCUACUUAGUAGCUAAAAUGAUGUUAGAGGACCCCUCGAAUCUGGGUAUGGUCUCUCUUGAGGAGGAUAAGGCGAUGAAGCCCAUGUUGAGAAGGUCCGCUUCGUGGACUUGCUGAGGAGAGAGGCAUCAGACAAGUUCUUUUGUAGAACUCCUAUCCCACCAUCCUUUCGGAACUAGAAAGGUGCUCAGCUUUGCUCCCGCCCUGUAGGAAUGUGUUGUUUGUACAUUAUUGCAUGUUGUAUCUGUAGGAAAUCGCACGGAAAAAUAAGUUUAAUAUCGAAGAAUAGAGGAUCAGGAUCUAUCCAGGUUCUAAUUGUAACAGGAAACUCUCAUUUACGUAAUUUAUAGCAAUCUUUUAUGUUUGGUUCAAUUCAAAAUCUUUUAUUGCAAUCCUUCCCCUAUAAAAUAAUGUUAGUAUCUCUCAAGUUGAAUGCUAAUCAGGUUUAAGGUCUAAGGGAGAUCCUUUUCUUUGGCAAUAGUUUCUUUUAUAGGAUUAGGAUAUUUAGAUGCGGUAGCACAAAUUUCACCCCAAAAAGAAAAAGAUAAGAAAAAAAAAGAAGACCAAUAAAAGCCGAAUAAUUGAAUCUUCAGAUUUUAAGAUAAGAACAUGAACUAACAAUUCUAAGUGAAAAAAUCAGGGAAUGAAUCGUGUCAUUCAUCAAAAUAUUAGGAUUAUCAGUAUAAUUACUCUCUGUGAUACUUAUGCCUCAAAUUCUUGUUUACAUAAAAUGACUUAACAUCUCAUUUUACGAAUCUUACAGUAGCAAAAGAACCGACCCUAAUAUCAUAUCGAAGCAACAUUGUAUAUACAUGUGGAAGAUGAGGCAACAAAGUGAAUAAUAAUCCAAAUAAACCCGUAAUACAACCUGUGCUUAUUCCAAUGAAUGGAAGGCAUGAUAUCUCAACAAUAACCUCAGGAUGCUGGCGCGUUCCUCCCUCCUUUCUUGCUAACAUACUCGCAUAGCCGGCAUGGCAAUGUGUCUAGGCUCGCUAAGCGGGCCUUGCCGUAGUUUCCCAACACACCGCACCUCCUCCACGCAUGGUACUCCGCGUAGGCCACGGGGUCCUCCGCGAGUGCUUUUACGUAGGAAGCCAAUUCCUCGAGAGAGCUGAAUUUUGAGCCCUCUAUGAUGGAAUUCGGUGGGACGAAGUCCCACACGUUCGACGUGCCAAAGUAGAUGGGGACCGAGCCGGCGUCCAAGGCGUAGAAUAGCUUUUCUGUGACGUAGCUCUCCGUGUUGGUGUUCUCGAUCGCGAGGACGAAUUUGUAGUGCGACAUGGCGCAGUGCAGGUGAUCCCACCAGUGGGGGAUUGGGUUCUCUUCCAUCUUGCAAUCGGGGAAGAAGUCGAGGGCUACGUCGGAGCCUCCGACAUUGUUUAAGCACCGGCCAAAGGAGUGGGUGGGGAUGAGGGAGAUGAGGGCUUUGGCGAGGGCAUCUCGGUGAGGUAAGCACCUCGAAGAAGACCAGUAAACAAGAGUGUCCUGCAAUAGCAUAGGAAUGUUAGUGUUAGUGUACAUUUUGGCAAUAUAUGCGGUGACACUUCUCAAACUUUCGCGCUACGACCCUUAAGUUAACCCUAUGUGUUAACUCAUAAGUUAGAUAGAGGCGGCACUGUCGAGUGUGCUGAACAAAAGCACACAAUUGUUUGCAGAGAACUGUGAUUUCUGAUUUUUCCCUGGACCCGCGACGGUCCUGUGGUCGCGAGUUUGCAUUCGCAGCAAACUCGUAAAAGCACUAGGAGGGGACUCAAUGUUGAGUUUUGACCAUAUCCAUACGGCGGCGGCCGAAAUUUUCAAAUACCAAACACACCCUUCUUGUGAGUUGCUGCUGAUCCUUAGUUAAAAGAUGUUGGUUUCCUAGUAGUUUCUUCUUAUAUGCAUGUAGAAGACAAAAAAAAGCACCAUUUCUCAGUGCAGCAACAAUACAACUUAGGGCUCACUUAAAGCUUGAUGGCAUGGUAAUAUUCUAUGGAGGCUUUCUUUUUCUUCAUUCCUAGCAUAAAUUUGUGUUAUAACCUUGUUUGUUGAGAUACAGCUAUACAAGUGGUGAUAAACAUGUGAUAGGAAAGCAUUAGGAACUAACAUUGUUUUUACUGAAGGAUCAAUUGCAAUUUUUUGUGCCUAACUUAGAUGUGCAUAUUGAACUUGAAACUUUAGUGCAUAUGAACUCUUGGUAGUUUGCUGGAACUUACAUUUUUCUUUUCCUUCGCUACGCGAUAACUCCGCGUAAUGCGGAAUGUUUUUCCGGCGUAAGUUGCCUGAACAUCGUCUUUGGCGUGGUAGCCGAUGAAAAUGUCCUCGAAUCCCGAGGGGCGCCUAGUAGCCUCGAGAUCCAUAAACGCGCGAAGAGGCUCCCCUUGUUUUCUCUAUAAAAAAAAAAAAGAAAGAAAGAAAACAAAAUGUUAUUUGAAUGUGCAUAAUUGUGAAGCACGAAAAAAAAAAAAAGGAAAAGAAAAUGUGGCAUUAAGAUUUCAAACAAAGUGGGGAAAACAUCCUACAAAUGGAUGAUUUGUGACGAUUCAAAGAAACUCUCGAAAUUUUGAAUGAUAAAAUAAAAAAUUCCAAUUUGCUCAAAUAAAGGUUUACUAUGGUGGACAAAACCAAAAUUGAGCUACCAAUGUAAAAUAAGGAUAUGUAUUCUUCUAUAAGGGGGCGGGUAUUAAUUACAAGUUUUACUUUUCAUUUAUUACUUUAUAAUUAUCCCCUUAUUAAGUAAAGAUGACACCCAUGAGGUGUAAGAUUAGAAAAGUGAUCUACUCCUAAUAAAAUCCUAAUAAAAUCUGCUCUGUUAAUGUCCGCGUCUUUUAAAGUCCUAGCACUUUUGGCACAUGUUAUAUGAAUAAAUAGGGAAUGUACUUAGAAUCAAACACUACCAAUUUGUCUUUUUGGCCCCACAUGACUAAAUAGGAUCCCCAAUUGACACAAAUAUUCUAAAGUAAUAAUCUAUUUAUGUUCAACACAUUACCUCAUGAGUCUCUAACUCAAACAACUUCAUAAAGGGCCUAAUAAUGGAACUUAAAUUGCAUGGAUAAAAAAACUCUCAAAUACUCCAGUGAAAAUUAGGUCUAAGAUUAAUUGCCUAGAGUUCAAUUCACUUCUUUUUUUAUUGAUCUCAGAGAUCAACUUAAUUCUUUUUAUCAGAUUUAGAAUUCACAUUUGUUGCUUCUCACCAACUUUUAACUGCCAUCUUAAUAUCCUUCACCAAUGAACAUUACCAUUUUGAGGAGAAAGAAUAUUACCAUUCAAAAAUAAUCCUAUUUCUACAAUGCAGCUGUAGUGCUGCAGCAUUGGUCCCUCCUUUCAAUUUUUGCAAUGAAACCCCUCAUGUUGUUUUCAAAUUUCAAUCAAGUCCCUUUCAUCCAAUAUAACUGGUUAAUUUAGGCGAAAAUUAUUACAUCAGUGCCAAAUCUUAUAACACAGCAAUUUUUCAUCUGUGUUAACUGUUUCUUUUCUUUUUUGAUUAAAAUAACUAGAAGGCAUUAGAAAUUCAACUAGGGAAAUGCCGCGAAUUUUCUACAGUUUCGUGCACAGAAUUUUUCCGUCCAUUCGAUCGUAUGCUCGAUCAAUGCUAGUCGUAAACAUUUUGCGCGCUCUCAAAACUCCUAGUAAAAAUUGCUCAUGUGUUAUCAAACAGAUAUCUCGUGCAGUAUAAGUCGUUUCAUGCGGUACGAAUAACUAAAUGCCAGCACAUGAGAAGCGAUUAAGUAAUCAAAUGAAUAGAUCUCACCGUCUUGGGGGGCUUGAAGGACUCCCAGAGGGUGACGUCGACCUCGUCAACGACCGCCACGUUGCGGCUCCACACGCAGCUCAGGCCGCAGCGGCACUCGUACACGCCGUCCAAGAUGUCCGGCACCCACGUCACCCCCCUGACCCCCACGCUCACGUGGCGCGUCCGCAGCUCCCCGCACCGCGCCCCUCCAUCCGCAUACUCCUGCACCGCCGACGCGUUCCCCCCCCACCGCGCGAACUUCUCCCGGAAUCGCCCGCACCCGACCUCCGCGUCCCACCGCCCGUAUGCGGCCACCACGUCGCCGAAGCGCUCCUUUUGGCGCGAGCCGAGGGAGUCAACGGCCGUGGUGACGACGACGCUGGAGUCAACGGCCGGGGAGUCAACGAGGAGGGAGGGGGAGAGUUUGGGGAAGUCGAGGAGGAGGGCGACGAGGGCGGCGGCGAAGAGCGCGGCGACGACGAGCGGCGCGAUGCAGCUUACGCGGCGAGAGGCGAAAACGGCAGCGGCGGCGGAGUUCGCCGUAAAGAAGGAAGAAAACGGAGGAGGAGGAGGAGGAGGAGGAGUCGGCGACGAAGAAGGCUUCGUCGACGACAUCUUCUUCGAUAUUCGAUCUCGUUUGGUGAUGGGAUGGGAUUCGCGGGGAUAGUAGUAGCUUUUAGUAUGGGUGAUUGCACGAUCGGUUGGUUCUAUGAAGGGAUUUUUAACGGAAAGGGGCGGGGGUGUUUGUAAUUUGUAUGGAUUGUCCUUGUACUCUCCCGAUAUUAAUUGUGACUAGGUCCCUAUACUUUUUUUUUUUGUUGUUUUUUCAAAGAUGUUCAACUUUAGUGUAGUUUCAUCUGGAAUGAGCCGUUUGGUUGCAUGUAGUUGCAACAGUAUGCAAAUACAAAUUUGAUAUUUAAUUUUAUAUAUUUAACUCUAACUACUGCAGUGGGAACUGUAAGAGAAGGUCCAAGUAUAGCAGUUCAAACUACACUCAAAUUGGCCGCAGUUCCAACUGCAGUAGUUGAAGAGAGUAACUUUAAACAACAAAUAUGUUUACCUCCUUAAUUAUUUUUUAAAUAAAAAAUAAUUUUUUUAUAUUUGAGGUAAUUUCACCAUCAUAUAUAUAUGAAAAGAUAAAAUUUUAAAAAUUAUUUCUCAACUGCAUGCAGUCAAAUAAAUUAUUUAUAGUUGCAACAUUUUCUAUUACAUCCAACCAAACAGAAUGCAUGUAAUUACAGCUGCUAUAUUUUUAACUAUAUGCAUCUUCAAUUAUAUUGUAUUUAUAAUUACAUCUAAUCAAAUAACCUCUAAAGUUGUGUUCAAUUUUAGGGAAAAUAAUUGAAAAUGAUCGUACUAAAUAUUUUGAUUUUAGGUAAAGUUGUUGAAAAUAGUUGUAUAGAAUAGUUCGAUUUUAGGUAAAAUAAUUGAAAAUGAUCGUUCUAAAUAUUUUGAUUUUAGGUAAAGUUAUUGAAAAUAGUUGUAUAGAAUAAAUAUUUCUGUGUGUAAGAAAGUAAUUUAUUUUUAUGUUUGGUUUGACAUAAAAUAAAAAUAGUUUGCUUAGGGUGUGUUUGGUACUCUGUAAAACUAGCUGAAAAUUUUUUUUCUAUGUAAAAUUUUACUUUUUGAUGUUUGGUUGCUAGUAAAAAGUUUUUCACGGAAAAAGAUUUUUACGCAUACUAAGAAAAUCCGAAGUUUUCGUUUUCCGCUCGCUGCGAGCGGAAAACGAAAACUACGGCACCAAAAAUCACGGCUCAGGAGGCUUCUUUGUGCACGGUCCACGAGGUGCCCAUCACCUCGUGGACCGCGUGAGAGAGAGAGAGCACAGGUCCAAAAUCGCGGCUCAGAGGCUUCUUUGUGCGCGGUCCAAUAUAUAUAUAUAUAUAUAUAUAUAUAUAUAUAUAUAUAUAUAUAUAUAUAUCCCUAUACUAUAAACAUCAUUUAUAUUUUUCUUUAAUAUAUUAUUGUGUAAUAUUUUAUAUAUAAUAUAUUAUUUAUAAUACAUAAUAACUAUUUCAUACUAUUAAUAUAUAUUAUUAUAUAUUAAUAUUAUAUAUUUAAUUAAUGUAUAAUACAUUUUAAAUAACUUAUAUAUAUAUAUAUUCAUUAUUUAAAUAUAUUAUUGUGUAAUAUUUUAUAUUAUAUAUAUAAUAUAUUAUUUAUAAAUACAUAAUAAUUAUUUUAUAGUAUUUAAAUAUAUACUAUUUAAAUAUUAUACAUACUACUUAAUUAAUGUAUAGUAUAAUAUAUUUUAGAUAUUUUAUAAAUUAUAUACUUAUAAUACUAAUAUAUGUAAUAUGAUAAUUAGAGUCGGCUAAUAUGAUAAAUUUUUUAUUUAUAAUUUUUAUUUCUUCAACGCAAACAACGAAAAAGUAAUUUUAUAUAUUCUUAUUUAUAAAAUUAUAUAUUUUUAUAGUAUAUAAUAUAGAUCUAUUACAUAUAUAGCCUACUAUAAUACACUAUACUACUACUAUCACAUUAAAUACUUAUCAAUUUAUUAUAUUAUAUAAUUUUAAUAUAUUUAAUUUAUAAAUAUAAAUUAUAAUAAUAAUAUAUAUAGCCUAAUAAUUAACAUAAAUUAUAAAUAAAUAAUAUAUAGAAUACAUAAUAAUAAUAAUAAUAAAAUAUAUUUUUUCCUUUCAACCAUUCAACCAAACAACUAUAACUGAAAACUAGUUUUCUUUUCCUACAAACCAAACACCAAACUACGUAAAACUUUUUUUCCACUGAAAAUUUUUUUCCACCGAAAAUUUUUUUUCCCAGUUUUACGUCAAACCAAACAGCCCCUUAGCUGCAGGACGAAAAUUAUAGGGACCAAUUUAGGAUGUUUGGGUGAUACAGGGACUAUGGUGCAAUUUACGCGGCGUUUACCUUUCCCAUAGAUUCCUUAUUAAAGAAAACAAUAGACGUGGCUUCAAUCUAUUAGCUGUAAUAAAUUGGACUUAUCAUCUCCACCAAUCACAUAAGGCCACGUCGACACCAAUGUACAACGUGAGUUUUGAGACUUUGGGAGCUCCCGGGAUUUGAGACUUUAAGCUGAUUCUGGUGAUACGUUGUUCCCUGCACCCGGUGCAUUGCCGCAUCUGUGCACCACCUCUUUUAUCGGCCCUCCAUCUCAUCUCUUACUUUCGAUCCAACCGUUCAACCCCGGGUUCUUUGCAAAGAAUUUUUUAUUAUGUUAUUAGUGGUAGAUUCACCAGACACUUUUAAUUGUAUUAUAAAUUAAUCAGUAUAUACAUAUAUAACGAUAGAGUUUUAUAAAUAAUAAAAAUUUUAUAGAGAGCUUUUCCAUAAAAAGUUGAUCUAAUUAUAACAGUAUAUCAUAUGUGAUGCACGAAUCUUGUAAAAACAAUAAACAGUUGAUCAAACUUACUCUUUAAUUUUUUAGUUUUAGAUAAAAAUUAAUUAAAUGGAGAUCUUUCUUAGAAAAAAGAUAUCUAAUCAACGAUUCAUCAUUACAAUGCACAAAAUUUUUAAAAUAAUGGUGAAUAAUAUUUGAUUAAAAUAUGAGAUCGAACGAAUGAUGCGUUAACAAGCAUUACAUGAUGUAUACUCAAAGCAUUAAUAUUGCCUUUAAUUUUUAAGGAAUGGUUGUUAAUUCGAUUAAUUAGUUCGGUAGAUCAAGUUUACUACAUUAAAUGUGAACUACCUUCAUCUGUUCUACUUCCAAUAUCACAUAUCAAGUAAAUUAAGAAAAAUAUUUUAAAUUUUUUUAUCAUUGCGAUAUUAUUAUAUUAUAUUAUUGAUGUGCUGACACUUAUAAUGUAAAGACUUUUGAUUGAUUCAUACAUGUAUUUUAACAAAUCAUAUAAAUUUGUUAACUCAUUAAUUAUAUAUAAUAAUAAUAACAACAUUAUAGCAGAAUUUAUACCGAUACUUGUUCAGAAGUUAAGUUAUGAUACUAUUGAUGAUAAAUAAAUUGCAUUUAUAAGUAAUUUUUUAGUUUUUCAAUUCAUGAUAGUACAUCACAAAAUGAUAAAAUCUACGCAUUAAAUGGAUAAAAAAAAAAAUUACUACUCUUCUAUUAUUAAUCAUACUUUUUUUACUAAUUUUAUUCUCUUCGCACUGGUCCACGUCAUAUAUGGUGGACCACGUCCAGGGAAUAGUUUCUAAGCAAUUUAACCGGUCUGAUCGGACGGGGAUCAACCUCCAGUUGCCGCGGAAGACCCGGUCCACGACUUUUCAAGAAAAACUUAAAAUCCUAAAAUAUAAUGAUCAAUAUAUUCUAACUUUUUAAAAUAUUAAUUUUUUUUUAUAAUAUAAUGUGUUAAAAGACGAAGUUUUUUUUAUUGUUUUGGUUAUGCAGUGGAUUAAACCUUAUUUACAAAAAUUUUAAAAUAAAAAAUUUAUUUUUAAAUUUUUAUCCUUUUUCGUUAAGUAAAUGUUUUGGAUGAAAAAAUUACAAGUAAUUCAUUAUUAAUUUACUCCUACACUUUUGAUAUGCAAAGUUUUAUUUAAAAAAAAAAACAUAUAGAACACCAAACGAGACCUAAGUUUUUUCAAAAAAAAAGUUACCAAAUGCCUAGCAUUCAUAUAUGUAUUUUUUUAUUUUUAUUAUUAUUGAAUGUUACUAAUGAAUAUUGUAAUACUCAUUUAAGAGGCUAUCUUAAUAUUCACACAAAUAAGAUUGAAUGGUGUGGAUCGUUAUAUCAGUUUUUGUCUUUAACCAGUCUUUUUAUUUUUGUAUAUUUUCAAUUCUAUGUGUACAUAAAAUUAUGGAUUUUGUGCCGAGAUGGUCUUGUAAAUUUAUUUUUGCUUUUGUACAAUUAAUUUAGUACCUAUCAAUUUUCUUUUUAAAUAUUAACAUCUACAAAUUAUAAUAAAAGAAUAAUGCCAUGGCAGUGAUAAUAAUAUGUUAUUUAUGAUAGAUACAUAUAUAAUGAAUUUAAUCAUCAUCAGAAAAGAAUAAAUCCAUUGUAUAUACAUGGUCUACGCAUAAAAAUAAAAUAUAGUUUGAGAACCAAAACAGUUAAGUUAAAACGCAAAACUUUAGGAGCUAAAUUUUUAUUUUAUUUCUAAACAAUAUCGUCAUUUUAUUUUUUUUAAAUUGCUUCGGCCACAUAAACCUAAUUAUGGAAGCGUUAUAUAUAUUUCUGAAUCAUAUUUAUCAAAUUGAUUUUUUUUAAUUAAAGUAGUUGUGGUAUCAGAGUUGCUUGUUUAUUCACGAGUCACGACGUGUUUGAUUAAUAUUCCAUUGGUCUAAUUCUUAAAUUAUAAGCUCAUUCAUUUGCAUGGACCCGGUCCAUUUUUCAGACGCAAAUGAAUUCGGGUUGAUAAAGCUCCUAUCUCGAUCCGUCCUAAGUGGGAUGGGACAGUAAGUAAAAGCUAAAAAUAAAGAAAAAAAAAAUAAUUCUUCUCGAAUCUGUCAUAAUUCGUUAAAAAAAUAGAGCGGAAAGCGUUCAUUUUUUUAGUUCAUUCUGAUUUAUCAAAAAUCCAUUUCUGUUAUGAUUUGUCCUAAUAGAAUAAUAAGCACGGGCAAUAUAUAAAAGAUAAAUAAGUUUGUUUCAAAUUUGUCGCGAUCUGAGAAAAUAGAGCCGGAGGUGAGAGACCCGUUCCGAUCCUGGAACUACCAUGUUUACAGCCCCCACUCUGUUUCUUUGCCUCUCACAGUUUUUGAUUAGCGGUCCACAGCUGACGUGGCGGACCGGGACCAAUGGACCUGUUCUUAAGCGGGGGUUGAGAGCGACGAAAAAUUCUAGAAUGCAACGGGUAUAUUAGUGACGUGGCGUAACAAACCAAUCAAAUUAAUCAUUUUAAGAAUAUAUGUCCCAUCAUGAUUGUAAAAAAAUAUUUUUAUUGUACUUUUGUUUGAAAAGAAGGAUUGUGAUUGGCUUGUUAUUGAUGACGUGGUGCAAGUGUGACAGUGUAGAAUUCCUCGAGAGCGACAGGGUCCGGAGUUGAGGCGUUGACUUUUUGGGGCACGUUCCACGAGGAAUUUUAUCAGUGGUGGUACGAACUACGAAGCCGUGCUUUGUUUUAUUGCUCCUAAUUUAUUCUUACAUAUUGAAUAUGACUUAUUAGAGUUGGGUAAGGAAUUAUUGAAUAUGACUUAGAGUUAGGUAAGGAAUUAUUUUAAUUUUGUCAUUGUCUAAUGAAAAGUUAAUCACUUUUUUAGAACUGUUUUUUUUUUCCCUAAUUCUAUUAUUUAUUUGGUAAAAGAGAGUGACGUAAAUGUUAAAUUUCUCACUUUUUUGUGUGUGUUUUUUAUGGAACACUUUCACAAUAGUAUAUAAGAUAAUAAGAAAAAUUGCAAUAAUUAAUUUCUUGCCUCCUUAUUUUUUUUAUUCUUUCUCUCACAUAAUUGUCCUUACUGUUAGCCAGAGUAAUAUCGAUUAUAAUCACUAUUGCUCGAAAAGGAAUAUAUUAUGAUGCCUGGUAUGAAUAUGAAAAUAUGAUUCACCAACUUCUUAAGAAUACAUCAUUAGGGGGAAACUAAAAGAGAGAAAGUAAUAGCAAAACUAGCGAAAUACGCAAACAACACACUCGUAGAAAGAGCUCAAUACUAAAACAAGCUACUGACCGUCCCUGGCGCAAGCGGCAAAAGGGCUUGAUGGGUUGGUAUUCGAGACCCAAGUUCGAAUCCUAGUUGAUUUACAUUUCCAGUUAAAUUUAUUUUUAAAUAAAAUAGACGAAGCGGGUAGAAUGCUAUCUUUCUCUCAAAAAAGAAAAAAAAAAAGAAAAAAAAAAGAAGAGCUUCAAAAAGCCUACGACGGUAUAGCAUAUUUGCAGCUUACUAUCAUGUAAUCACACUUGCUCAUGGUCGGGCUCAGACCCGAGCAAACCCCGAUCUGAGCCUGGCCCAAAUCACGAUCCAAAUUGGCCGGGCCAGGCCGGACCAGGCCAAACCAGGCCGAACCGGGCUGAGUAACUCCAAGAAAAAAGACCAACCCACUUUUACAUGGGCCCGUCAUUGUUAGACCGAGUUUUGACAAUUUUGAUUUUGUACAGGGGCUAUUUUGCAAAAAAGCGACAAGCGUCGUCCUUUCGCUUCGAGCACGAAUCGUUUCGAUCUCUUUAUGUAAAAAAUAAAUAAAUAAAUAAAUACACAGCCCUUGGCGCGUCUAAGCUUCUGCUCACUCCUCCAUCAACAAUGGCGCCGAAGAAGAAGCCGCAACAACAACAGAGGUCGAAGGCGAAGGGGAAACCCUACCCCGCCGAUGCGAGAACCCCCGCUCCGAAGCUCCAAAUCUCGGCGGAGAACGAGCGCCGCCUCCGCCGCCUCCUCAUGAACACCGACCUCCCCCCGGCCACCGCGGCGGCGGCGGCGGCGCCGCCUCCACCGUCGUCCUUCGCCGCCUCCUCCGCCGAUGCCGCGGCGACGGAGUCGCGAACUGCGAAGGCGAAGCGGCUUCGGAGCGUCUACGACAAUCUCUCCCUCGAGGGCUUCUCCUCCGAUCAGAUCGAGAGAGCCCUCUCCGCUCUCCAUGUUCGAUCCAUCCCUCCAAAGACUUUAAUUGCGAUUUCUCGUCCAUAGUGAAUCAGGGUUUUUGUAUGUUAUUUAGUGUUAAUUUGGUCUGAAGAGGGAUCUCUUACUUGUUCCAAUGGUAGGAGAGUGCGACGUUCGAGAGCGCUUUGGAUUGGUUGUGUUUUAAUCUUCCUGGAAACGAGCUUCCUCUGAAAUUCUCGACCGGUGCUUCUUCUUCUUCUCAUGGAGGUAGUCUCUUCAUAAAUCACGAUGAUAAGUAUAGUGACCCCAUCACCCGUAGGGUAUUUUUGAAGUAGUUAUUUUAGUCAAUCAAAUUGAUAAUUGUUGCUAAACAAAUCAGUGAUUCCGACAACAUUUAGUCGAAACUAGUGUGCUUUUUGUUAGUAUUUAAAGAUCAAUAGUUAGUAAAGCCCUUAAUUUUAACAUAUUAUCAAUUCAAUUGAUUAGGAUAACUCAACUCAAAAUAAAUGAAAGUUUAUGAGUGUCGAUACAAAAGGAGUUCAGAAGCCUAUCUCAAAAUGGCGUAUAGUUGAUCAGUUUCGAUUUAUUUCUAUCGAAGUUUGAUAAGAAACAACCAGCUUGAUAUUAGUGACUAUACUUUUAAUUCUUUUUGUGUUUCCGGCAAAUAAAAGUGUUUAGGAUCAUGUUAAACUGAUGAUAUUCCGUAAUUUACAUAUAGUGUGUAAUUUGUGCAUUCAGAGACAGAAGGGUCAGUUAAAAUUAUAGCUACUGCUCGGGAAGAUUGGGUUGCUCCGCAGCAUCAACAGGAGGAAGAGAAAGACGGCAUGGAUGGAAUGUCGGUUAAAGUGAAAGGGAAGCGUGAUGAAGCGUCUCUAGAUGACGGAAAAUCUUCUCAGGCAGAGUGGAUCCGACAGUACAUGGAACAAGAAGAAGAGGUAUUUGUAUAAGAGGUCUUUCUGCAUAUGGAUAAAUUCAUUAGUGUCUUUAAUUAAUUGCCAUAGAAUGCUAUUUGCAGUAGUUUUUCCUAGCCAUUCUUAACCUUAUAGAUCAAAUUUGUAUGUUGGAUUGGAUUUGAUGAUUUUCGUUCUAUAAUUCUUAAUCUACCAGCAUACUUUGUAUAUUGCACUUCACGGUUAAUUGGGUGAACAAUCAUGUAUGCUGUUGUACUCUUAAUAUCCAAGUUGUCCAAUGCAUAUUUUAUGGGAUCUCCUAUAAUUUGGAAAUUUUGUGUUUGCUUUUGAUGUUAGGAGGAGGACACAAGUAAUCGUGCUGCUUCAUUGGCUGAAGAGUACCGUGUUGCAAUGCUGGGAUCUAUGGAAGCAAAGCAGAAAGGAAACAAGAAAAGCCAGAAACGUUUUGACAAUACUAUCCACAAACUGAAGCAGGAAUUAGCUAUGUUAGGUUUACUCUCAGAUCUCUGAAUUGUUUAAUUCUUUGGUCGAUUACUUCAUUUUGAAUGUUUUAUCAUAUAUUUUCUUGCAGGUCUAUCAGAGGAAAUUUUGUGUUCAGGAUUGCAAGAAGAAUCCGUUUAUUCAAAAAUGGGGGAGGUCACAACAUGCGAUUCAACACCCCAUGAAUCUUUUACUACAAAAAAAGUGUUAGAUGAAGAUAGUCGGCUAGGUUUAGUUGCAUCUGAAAGUGAAUUACAUUUAGAUGAGAGCAGAAAUGACAGCUCUAUUUUGAGAAAGACAGAGGGUGCUGUUGAUCGUGUGGAGAGCCUACAUAGCCCUGUUAAUGCAACUUGUGUGACUAAGGAGGAAUCAGAGGAAUUAGAACUUGACAAUCUGUUUUCUGAGGAUUCUUCUUCUUCUGGAGUAUUACUGAAACAGCAAAAGACAGAAAAGGUGCCACACAGUAAAUAUGUGCAUGCUCUAGGAAACCUUGAUGAAAUAUGGAAAAAGGUAAUUUGGGCUUUUCAUCACUCUUGUAGAAACUAUCAUAGUAUUAUGGUCUUACUAUUGAUGUUUUAUAAUAUUAGUUAAUGACAUUGGGGCUUCACUCUUAAAUUUUGCUUCCCUUUCUGGCGGGAUUCAUGUUGGCAAAUGUUGUCUUGCGAUGCUUAUAUCGCAGGGGGAAUCUGGAAGAAUACCUAAAGCUGUUCUUCAAAAACUGUGCCAAAGACUUGGAUGGGAAGCACCAAAAUAUAGUAAGUUAUCUGAGAAAGAUAACAAAUUCGUCUAUGCUGUUAGCAUAUUGCGUGGAGCAAGUGGACGGGGUAAGAGUCGAAAAGCUGGAGGUUUUACCACUAUGCAGCUUCCUGACCAUGAUGAAACGUUUGAAUCCAUUGAGGUCUCGUACUCUUGUUCCCUAUCUUCUAGUUCUAUUUAUUUUUUCUAACCAACUUUUGCUUGUUUCAGUGUCUUACUGAAUUUUCUUUCCCCUGCAAAUUUUACUAUAUAGUUGAUUAGAAUCAUGAACUUUGCUUUGAAAAUCCCUUAUCUCACAUGCGAAGACAUAUGUGAAGGAUGAUAUAGUCACACAUUCAAUUAUUUUACUUUUUAUGACUUUACCAAUAUAGUCGCACUCAUUCAAUUUUUUUACUUUUUAUGACUUUCCCACCUCAGUUUUUUCAUGAUUUUAUUUUAAAGCUGUUCUCUGCUUCUAGGAGUCUAAGCAAUGAUCCUGUAGUGAUUGACAAGGAAACGAUGGUUUGUUUUGUUCAUUUGGUGGCCUUGUAUUCUUCCUCAAUGAUGUUACUGGCUUUUUUUGUACUUUUAGUACAUCAGAUAUUCUUGCGUUCCAUCUUUUGAAGUAUUUUUUGGAUAAAUUGGGCUACUUUUUCGCAGGACGCACAAAAUAGAGUAGCAGCUUUUGCCCUUUAUCAAUUUUUUCCAGAGCUUCCACUUAACCAAAUGCUAGUAGAACCAUACUCCUCAUUAGUUUUGAAGUGGCAGAAAGGUAUGAUUUUUUUUUUAAAAUCAGCUCCCCCUUUCAAUUUGUCUUUUAUUCUUUUACUGCUCUGACUUUCUUAUUUUCAUAUUAAUGAAUAUACAGAUGAAUGCUCAAGUGAACUCGAUAAUGAGGAUAUCAGAAGAGAUGGCUUUGUGGAUAUGAUUUUGAACACAGAUGCUUCAGGGUCGGCGACUUCCUUUGGCGCCCGAAAUCCUGCUGACAGUGAGAAGCUUGGAAACUCCUAUGAUGCGGGAGAUAAUCCACCACCUGAAAAGAUUAUCAUAGUCAAGUCAUCAACUGAUGCAGGUAUGCUCUCUGAGACGAAUCAUCAUAUUUUCCAUUGACAAUGAAUAGUGGUGAUCUCAAGACUAAAACUGGUGUACUUUUUCUACGAUAUUUUGUUAAAUACCAUCCUUAGAAGCUUUACGAUCGCAGUGGUCAUACAACUUCAUAUAACAUGUUGUACUUCUCUGUCCUUUUUUGUUGUCAAGUGCUUGGACUGAUAUUGAUCAUUUGAGCUUUAGAUUUUUCUUCCAUGGAAUUCUGUUAGAACUGUUGUCUUAGCAGAUAUCCUUUUAUUGUGGUGGGCAAGAUGAAGCACCUAGUUUAGCGAGCUGAUAGCCUUAUCCUAGUUAUGAUGACCUUGCGACUGGUUGAGAAUGAUUAUUGUUGUUGACGUAUUUCUUGGAAAGAAUCAUGGUUAAACAUUGCAGUUGGCUAUUCUGUUGUGGUCCCAUUUUUGUUAUUUUAAAUAUGUUGGACUGAUACGCAUGAUACUAAUCUCAUUCAUGCCCUUUCCCCCAGAGGAAUGAUAAUUUUCAUAGUUUGAACUCUGUUUUAAGCAUGGUAGUUUUUGAUUGGGUGUUUGUAGCUAUGGCUGUAGAAAAUCUGUCUGCUGCUUCUGAACUGGUUGAAUGAGUCAAUGACUGGAGUUUUUCCAUAAGUUCUUUUAUUACCUCAUGUAGUAGUUAAUUUUCCAAUGAUCUCAUUGUUACCAAGACUAAUAUUGAUUAUUUGACUGUACUAACUUCUUAGGUCGGAUUUCUCCGGAACAAGCAGAGAGUGUAUUACUGAAAAAUGAUUUGGCAAAUAAAAAGAAGCUACCUAAGUACAUGGUAUCUUGUUGAUGAUCAUCUAUUUCUCCUUAGUGUAAAAUUAGCAUAUGAGGUGUUAUAUUCUCCAUAUACAUUACAUAUUUUUAAUACUUUGACUGUAUCUCUUUUGCCAAUGCAGAAAAUGCUGGAAGCCAGAGCUGCUCUGCCUAUAGCUAACCUGAAAAAUCAUAUUCUUCACUCUUUAAAUGAGAAUGAUGUGAUUGUUGUUUGUGGCGAAACUGGGUGCGGGAAAACAACACAGGUUAGUUAUAUACCAUCAUAUCUUCCACUGAUUGUCUAAGAUAAUACUGUGAAUGAUUUUGGGAUCCUUUUUGAUAUACAAAUAGAGCAGAAUAUUGUCAAGGCAUGAAAUAUUUAUUUUCCUUAGCAACAAAAUAUUCUAAUUAGUUAUUAUGUAUUUUUAUCAAAUCAUUUCAACUUUAUUGAGAAAAUAACUUACUAAUUUUCAAAAAAAGGGUUUUGAGAUGUGCCAUCGGCACGGGAACUAUAUCAUACCGAUAUUUUGUUGGCACGAUAUGACACUGUGGAAACCGCCCGUGCCAAUGAUCCCUUAAAUCCUUGUAUAUGUGUGUGUGUGUGUGUGUGUGUGUGUUGUUGGCAUGAUAUGGCAUGGUGGAUACAGUCCGUGCUGAUGGGUAUUUAAAUUCUUGUGUAUAUAUAUGUGUAUGUGUAUAUGUAUGUGUGUGUGUGUGUGUGUGUGUGUGUGUGUGUGUGUACACGUAUAUAUAUACGUAUAUGUAUAUGUGUGUGUAUAUAUAUAUAUGUAUAUAUAUAUAUAUAUAUGUAUAUGUUUAUGUAGAUAUGUAUAUUUAUAUAUGUAAAUAUGUGUAUAUAUAUAUUUGUAAUUUCCACUUUUUUGCCAUUAUACAAUUGGUGCUCUUGCAGGUCCCUCAAUUUAUAUUGGAUGAUAUGAUUGACAUUGGGCUUGGAGGAUACUGUAACAUAGUGUGCACACAACCACGCAGGAUAGCAGUACGGUUAUAUCUCAAUCUUGGGUUCUCUUUGUCUUAUCUUAAUCUAUAGUUUCUAGAUGUCAUAGAAGUAUAUGCGCACUCUAUUUUUCUGUAAUGUCGUUGCAAUUGAGCAAAAAUAUAUACAACCGUUGUGGAGCUGUUAUAUUCAUUUUCUGACUUGCUGCAGUGCAGUGGUAAAGAACUUCAUGUUAAACAUCCUUCUGGUUGUUAAUAUGUCUUAAGUAGAACUUGCCAUUGGCAACGAAAGGAUGCUGGGACUCAGGCAAAGAAUUUUAGCUUCUUUUUUUUUUUUUUAAUGUCUAUACUGGCUUAUGCUUUUUUAUGCUUAUAGUUGCUUACUCAUCUUAUUGAAAGGAACUAAUUAUCAGAUGAUUGAUUACCCAAAAAAUGUUAGGACUUUGGAGUAUUUUUAUACUUUUUUAAUUGAUUUCAAAUAGAAGCAUUUUCUUCACAACUGAUAAGAUAGGAAUUUAAUUGGUUAUGUGAAACAUACAUUAAUAUGUGUAGGCAGGUAUCUCAUAUGCAAUUGUGUUAACGGUCUACAGUGUACUACUUAUGCUGUAAAUUUUGAGUUUUGGGCCUCGAUAUGGGAGAUUUAUUUAUUAUAUUGCGUAAAAAGAAUACUUACAUAAUGAAACAGGAAGAAUCAACCUUCCAGCUUAGAUACACCUUAUGCAUUACCCUAAAUCAUAUUAACUGUAAACUGUUCAACAGUAUAGUAAUUAAAUUGUGCUAUAUUUUAAACUUGGCACGUUAUUCUGUCUUAAGAGUAUAUUUGAAAUAGUGCUUUCUUUUUUAUUCUUAUUAAUUGUAGCAUUUUUUUAUGUGUUGCAAAAGGGAUUAAUAUUUAUAAUUAUUCUUUGUCAGGCCAUUUCUGUGACAGAAAGAGUAUCAGAUGAGCGAUGUGAAUCUUCACCAGGUGGUGAUGGUUCAUUGGUUGGCUAUCAAGUUCGCCUCGAGAGUGCUAGGUGCUAUCUCCUUUUAUCUUUUGCUAGUUAUAUCUGAACUCUAGUAACUAUGCAAACUGGCAGUGCUCACACUUCUGCAUUGUCUGUAUUUUCUUUUAAAAUUGUGCUCUUUAUUCUCCAGUUGGUAGACAUAUGAACCUUAGGUUGAACAAGCCACUGUUAAAUUGCAUAGGACUAUGUCGCCAACUUGCAUAUACGUCUUUCCUGUCAGAGCAAAUUUUUCUGUGCCUUCUUUUCUUCACUACUUGUAAUUGGUUUCUGUUACUUCUGUAAUUUUUUAAUCCAUGUGUUUAUGCUCUCAAAUGCAUGGACAUAUUUCUUAUGUUAAAAUCUCUGUUUUAUGUUAUCUAGGAGUGACAAGACAAAACUUCUCUUUUGUACAACUGGCAUCCUCCUUAGAAAAUUGUCGGUAAGUUUUAUUCUUUAUGAGAAAAGGCACAUCGUAAUUAUUCAAAAGAUUCCUGAAUUUCUCUUGGUUUCUGUGUUUCUCUUUCCUGUGUUAUUCAGUUUUGCAUAGUGCCAUUUGCCUGGAAUAAGGAUUAAUAGAUUUAUCGUAAUUGGUUUAGAAAUUCUUUUGAUAAACCUCAAUGGGGGGACAACCUGGGAGGAUGAUAUUGAUGAGGAUGUUAAUGCACAUAAAACUAUCAAAAAAUAAGAAUGGUACUAAUAGAUAUUAUUUAUUUAUAUGCCUGCUUAUGAUGCUCUUGUUAACAAAUAUCAUGUAACUGAUUAGAUUUUUUAUCUUAUAUUAUUGUGGUGACUCUAGCAAUUUAACUUAUCAAACUAAUUACUGAUAGAAGAAUAACUUCUAUUUUAUUUUCUUUUUUUAGUUUUAUUCAACUUUUGUAAUUAUAUGUCGUAACUUAACAUCAUUAGGACUGGCUAAGAAUUGAUGAACUUACAACUGAGACUCAACAAGCAUUUGAUAUUAUUGUAUCUAAUCAGUGCAUAGUUUUGCAAAUAGAAAACCAUGGAAGAGGGGGUGGGGUAUGGGGCUGAGUUUCUUCAUAUUCUUUAAUUAUGUUCAUGCCUAUUGUGGUUAUUUUUAUUGGAUACAGCUUGUUCUUAUUCUUCAAUUAUGCUUAUGCCUCUUAUGCUUUUGCAUGACAUUCUGAUGAAAGUGGGAGACUCAUUUGUUUUUACAGAUAUCUAUUGUACACAAUCUGUCAGAAGCCUUAUGUCCCAUUUGGAUUCAUAUUAUAAUGGUAGUUUGGUUAACAGAAUGAUGACAGAAAAAACAAAACACAUAAGCAUUACUCUUUGGAUUUCAAUGUUCGUUCUUGUCGCAUCAUAUUUAUUAACCUUGUAAUAUUUCAUCAAUUUAAAAUGUUGACAAUAGAUGCUUUUUUGGUAUUGAUUCUAAUAGGCAAACAAGAACUUGGAUGGUGUAACUCACGUCGUAGUUGAUGAAGUACAUGAACGAUCUCUUUUGGUUAGUUUUCCGAGGAUCUCUCAAAAUUUUCUUACUUGUAUGUGUUAGUUUCUUCAAGUAUCUCUCAAAUUUUUUUCCUCAGCAUGUGUUCAUACAUGUUUCUCCAAGUAUCUCGCAAAUCUUUUUCAUCAGCAUGUGUUCAUACAUGUUUCUCUUGCACCAUAUAUAUUAGAAUGUGAUAAAAUCUCACUUAGAAGAGCAUCGAUGGGUGGUAAGUAGCGGUGGCAAUGGGUGUAGUUGUCUUUAUCAUGUUAAAUUUUAAGUUCGUUUAAGAACCGUUAAUUUCAUUUUACCCCAUAUAUAACUCGUCAAGUGAGAUCUUCCUUGCAUAUGAAUUGAAAUUAAUCGUUUGAAUAAUUGAAAGAAAUUGAGAUUCACUAUUUAUGUGUUUUCAUUUACCGGAAAGAGACAUUUUCAACUGCUAAAUUACUAUUUCAUAUACUCUUAUUAUUCUAGAAGAAUAAAUAUACAUUUGCAUAUAAUCUUGAAAGGUCUCUGUUUCAGAGUGACUUCCUACUGAUCGUUCUGAAGGACCUGGUUGAGAAGCAAUCUUCUCGUGGCAUACGAAAGUUGAAAGUAGUUCUCAUGUAUGUCUAUAUUUAUUUAUUUUUGAAAUAUGGUUUUUUGAUGCAGAUAUGCUAUCUCAGUGCUCUAUCUCUUGCUGAUCAACCAUUGAUAGCCUGAUUGCUGCCUUUUCUGGUUCUUUUUCAAUGUAGGUCUGCAACUUUAGAUGCAAGUCUGUUCUCAAGGUACUUUGGUGGUUGUCCUGUAAUUAGAGCAGAAGGAAGGACACAUCCAGUUUCAACUCAUUUCCUUGAGGAUGUUUAUGAAAAACUCGAGUAUUGUCUUCCCUGGGAUUCUCCUGCAUCAGGGACAUCUCUUGCACCAAAUAGAGGAAAGGUUUGGUUUUUAUCUAUUCUUGUAUGGAUAUGAAUGUGAUGUAGUGAUGUUAUGGUUAUGUGAAAAAAAAGGGAAAAUUUUGAGUUCUCAUAUUAUAUCUAUGACAAGUAGAGGCUUAAACAAAUACAACAUUCAAUCUUAUGCUAAUUUGAAAAACAUGUUACUUAUGGGCAACAAGAUCAGUUUGAACCUGUCAUCCUAAGUCAUGUUAGAUCCAACCAUAUUGUUGCAAACCUUUUCUUCUCUUGGAGAAGGAAUGCUUGAUCCAGAUUGCAUAUUAAGUCCACGGUUACCAUGAAAUUAUAUGCUUUUUUGUAAUGCCUUUACGUUAACCAUGGUAUUGCACUCUUACUUCAUUCCACUCCUUUAUUGAAGUUUUGAGCACUGCAUUAAACUUCUCGCCACAGUUCCGAUGGCUAGUUUUUCGCAAUUCAUUUGCUAUAAGUUGAACUUCUGUGGUGACAGCGCAGUAGUGGUGCUGUGGAUAACCAUAGAGGAAAGAAGAAUCUUGUUAUGUCCUCCUGGGGUGAUGAAUCACUACUUUCUGAAGAUUAUGUUAAUCCUCAUUAUAUCCCCGAAUUAUACAACUCCUACAGUGAAAGAACACGCCAAAAUCUUGUAAGUUUGAAUUGUAUGAUGUUACUUCUUUUUUGUCAAUUUAGUACUUAAAUUUACAACCUUAUUUUCAUGCAGAAACGCUUAAAUGAAGAUGCAAUUGAUUUUGAUCUUUUGGAAGAUUUGAUAUGCUAUAUUGAUGAAAAUUGCCCUCCUGGUGCCAUUCUUGUUUUCCUUCCUGUAAGCUUUGUGGAGUAUGAGUCUACUUUUAUUAGUUGUUUCUGCCUGUAAAUUAAGCCUUGCCCUUUUUUUCUCUUUUUUAAUUUCUACUUCUGAUUUUUCCUAUAGGGAGUUUCUGAAAUUGAGUUGCUGGUUGAUAAAUUAACCGCCUUAUUCCGUUUUGGUGGAGUAUCAUCUGAUUGGAUUCUUCCUUUGCAUUCAUCACUUGCGUCAGCUGAUCAACGGAAGGCGUUUCAAUCUCCACCUGAAAACAUACGAAAGGUAGUUGUCAUAUUACUGUGCUUGGAGACAUUCUUUAGAAAAGUGGCAUAAAACAUCUUUUUAGCAUACUAAAAUGUUGCACAAGUUUCUCGGGAAGAAAAUCAAUCAUCAGAUUUGUUUUCUCACCUAUACAUAAUGACUGGGCUACCUGCUUGGGUUUUCUACUGUAUUGAGCAAUAUUUUUUUGAAAUAUAGUAUAUCCUACUUGAGAGUACUUUGUUGAUCAAGGAAACGAUUCUUUAUGCCGCAAUGCUGUCCCAGAAGUUCUGCAUUGAGUUGUUUAUUUUGGGGAAAAGUUCCUGCUAAAUGCUAAUAGUUCUUAAAUUAUAAAUCAUAUUUUCUUCCCUUUUCUAUUUUUUAUGAUACUUUUAGCUGGGAAAGCACUUCUUGGCUAAUCUUCCCGUUUAAGUGUUCUUUUUGUUCUUUCAACUGUAUUAAGUGUUCCCAUGUCAACAACUUAGUUGGUAAAUAAAGCCAAUGAAGAACUACAAAAUGGAAGACAUCUCGAUUACCUUUUCUUUAUUUAACACACAAUGUAAUCCAGUUUUGACGACCCACUGUUGUUACUCUUUUCAAUAGUUUCAAGAGUAGGUUUUCUCAAAACCAUAUUGUAGUCAACCAUCUUGGGUUAAUAUUUUGCUGUAUGCUGCAGGUAAUUGUUGCAACGGAUAUUGCAGAGACCAGCAUAACAAUUGAUGACAUAGUUUAUGUGGUUGAGAGUGGAAAGCACAAGGAGAACCGGUACAAUCCACAAAAGGUUCACAUAUUUCUUGCCAUCGUAUUCAUCAAAAUUUUCAGUUUUCAUGAUCCUUGUAGUUGGAAAUAUUUGCAAAUGUUUGUGGCUGAGGUGUUUGAUUCGUCAAACACAUUUUCACUGAUUCUAAGUUACUAAUAGGGUUAACAGCUAGUCUUCUUUUUUCUUUCUUCUCUUUUGAAGUUUGAGAAAAUAAUGAUAGUUGGAACGUAACAAAAUUUGAAUACUUGAAUCACAAUCACAUGGGUAAGUUUAUCAGGAUAUGCAGCACAAGCGUGUGUCAAUUUUCACGCUCAUGGAUUUCCAGGAUUUUUCAAUCUGAAAAUUUUACCUAGUCAUUGUUGAACCUUCAAGUUCCAGUCAGCACUUUUCAAGAAUAGCCAUAGCAUGUUAUGUAACAAGCAUCAAUUAGGCAAGUAUAUAUAACUGAUAGGUUCACUAAUCAGAUAUUGUAUCCUAAAUGUUGCAGAAAAUGUCAAGCAUAGUGGAAGAUUGGAUAUCCCGUGCAAAUGCAAAGCAGAGGCGUGGUAGAGCUGGUAGGGUGAAGCCAGGAAUCUGCUUUUGCUUGUAUACUCGCCAUCGAUUUGAAAAGCUCAUGCGCCCAUUUCAGGUAAUUAUCAUUUCGUCAUUCUAUUUCUAACAGCAUAUCUGUGUUGUAGCUCAAAGCAAGAUAUAUUUUAUCUGUGCUACCGUAGCAUUUGUUGAAACUUCCCUCGAUGCCAACGUGUAAAUAUUUGUUGAUUUUUCAGUGCUACAUACCUACCUAUGUACAACAUGACUGCAUAGUAUAUCAAUUAGCAUAUAGCUACAUGGCUGCUUCAACUCCUUUCUCUUGUGCCUAAAAAAUCUUGCUAUAUCGACUCUUCAAUCAUGUAUUUGCUUAUGUUGGCUUAUUUAAUCUCCUUUUUUUUUCACAUAUAUGCAGGUGCCUGAGAUGUUGCGGAUGCCAUUGACUGAGUUGUGUUUACAGAUAAAAUCACUUUCUUUGGGAGAUAUCAAAUCCUUUCUACUGAAGGUACGUGAUCUCUCUGUUUCUGUAUGUGUGUGUGUAAGUGUACAUGUACGCCCGUAUGGCUUCAUCUUUGUUCAUGCAUUAUGCCUGUUUCUAUUGACUUAAUUAUUAGUCGAAGCAUAGCUACGUUUCUUUAUUCUAUCAUCUUGAUGUCAGUGGUUUGUUUUUGUGACUAAUUUUGCAUCGAUAUGACACUCUACCAGGCAUUAGAACCACCACGAGAAGAAGCUAUUUCCUCUGCAAUUGACUUGUUAUAUAAGGUACUGUUUUGUUCCUUAUGACAAGUUUGCAAAAUUUAGUGCCAAUAUCCUUAUCUCACUACAAAUAGAUCUAGAAUACUCUUUUGGACUAUUGUUAGUGUUUGUGACUGAUAAGUUCAUAUUGGUGCAUUUUUUUGGUAAAUGCAUGAAAUCUCACUAGAGAAUUUACACUUUAUUUUGGU
RNAcentral lists this long non-coding RNA (61010 nucleotides) under Ananas comosus (pineapple). RNAcentral describes it as "long non-coding RNA (ACOM_LNC030995)". The record is from RNAcentral. Lineage: Eukaryota; Viridiplantae; Streptophyta; Magnoliopsida; Poales; Bromeliaceae.